UUUUUUUUUUUUUUUUUUGCAAUUCAAGAAAAUGAGAAGGAUAAAUAUUCAAGACCAGAUGUAGCCAAUUGGUAUGGCUUUUUAUCCCAUCUUAGAAUGAAUGAAGGAUCGUUGGUAUGGCUUCUAGGGGUGAUGCUGAACCAAAUAGUUUGACUCGAUCUUGUAAGUUGCUCGGUCAACAGCUCGACUUGAGCUCAUUUUGAUCGAGCUCGAGCUCCACUCAUUUGAUCUCACGAGUUGAGCUUGAAUCCCAAUAUUUUAUACUCAGAAGGCUCGACGAGCCUAAUCGAGCUUUUUAUAAUAAAUAUAUUUUUAAAUUUUUGUAUUUAUUAUUAUGAAAUAUCAAUUAUGUCCAUUAUUUAAAAUUAUAUGUAUAAUAUUAAUUUUUAUUACGUGAGGUUGAUUUGACUCGAAUAGACUCGAUUAAGUUCAAUUACACUCGAAUAGGCUCGAUUGAACUUACUUUGACUCGAUUAGAUUUAAUUAAACUCGAAAUCGAGUAACAUAAACUGAAGUCGAGUUCGAACUCGAGUUUAGUUAUUUUACCUCUAGUCCAGCUCGAGCAGUGCACAAUUUGAUAUCGACUCGACUUGAAUACACCCCUAAUGGCUUCUAGCAUUCCAAGCUCUCUUUGUCCUCGGCCUUCCAGAAAAAUAUGAAACAAGAUAACUUCGCCCAUUAAUACAAAUUUUAAUAAAAUUACGAUGUUUUUAUCAAAAAGGAUAAACUAAGCAUAGACAAGAAAGUCUUGCCAGCUUAAACUUUAGACUCUCAAAGUUUACUAUUGCUAAUAAAAGAGGGAUCCCUAUGAAAGUUCUUUUCUCUGAUUUGAUUGCUUCCAAAUCCUAGCGUCUUUUGUUUGACAAGCACUAAAAAUUAAUCCUCCUCAUGCAACAGUAAACAUCCAUUAUUUCCUUAAAUAAAGUACUCAAGAGCAAUUGAUUGUAUAAGUUCCUUUUAACUUCACUUUUGGGACGCCUGCUAGCAAAAGUUGAAGAAGUCCUAUUAUCCCAUUACAUGUGACUUAAUAAUAAUUUUAUGACUUGCCUUAUAAAUUCCAUAUACAAUUUUGGUAACUAGGGAUCCACAGACAGUACCUGCAAAGGAGGCUCUCGUUUCUCUUAAGAAUUUAAAAGCAUAACCUUAAGAAAGAGAUCAACAACAACGACAUUAAUUAGUGCUCCAGUCUGCACUAACCUAUAGGUUUUGUUUAUUCUCUUUCCGUAAAGUCCAUAGGCUUUUUUUUUCGUAUAGGUGGGAGGUCUUGAAUUUAGGACAUUUUACUUGUAAUAUCUCCCACCUUAUCAUCCAAACGAUUAUUGAAUGUUUAAUUUAAUUUGGAUAUUACACGUGACUAUUGAAUGAUUAGAAAUAGGGAAACAAAUCUUUACAUGAUCAUAAUCUGCUAAACUGGCACAGUAAAUUCUUCAUCAAUCGUCAGAUCUUUAUUUCUUUCUCCUGAUUUGUAUUCCCACUUCAACAAUUUUCUGCGUUUUCGAGCUUCUGUCUAGCCUGAAUGCACCACCAUUCAACUACGCGGUACUUAUUGGCAGGCAGCCAGUUAUUAUACAUAGAUUCAUAUCAUGGCAAUCCUCGAAGAGGACAGUGGCAACCAAAUUAGCAUCAAAUCGUCUCAAAUUAAGGCCAAAGAAUUAGAACAUUUUAUGGUCAAAACUCAAACCACCAAAGGAGCAUUUGUUACUGGGCAACCAAUUGAAUUUGAAUCGGAAAAGAAAACUAUUUGUAUUCAUGCAUGAAAGCUCUGCUGGAGUUGUAAUCAUUAGCCUUUUCUCCUUUGAUCAAUCAUAAUAAUAAGCUACAGAAACCAAACUAUAGAGCAAAGUAAUAGUGCUGAUAUUUUUAGGUAGACAAGCUUUCCAAUUACCCCUUUUCUAGCCCAACCUUUUACUCCUGUUCUUACAUUCUAAACAAAGAGAAUAAAGAAUUACUAGAUCCUUUUUACUAAGGAGAAGUAUAAAACUAUAUAUAUAUAUUUUUUUUUAAUUUUGUCAUCGAUCCAUAGUGCUUAGAGCCAUAAUCUUUCUUUGUGAUCUUUAACACUAGAAUAUUGCUGAUUGAAAGACAAACACUUGUGAAUUGCAACUUUGCAACUGAAUUGUUUGGGGGCGUUUAAAGUCCAUCAUAAAUAGUAUGACCCCUCCCAAAAGACAAAAGGUGACAAUGGAGAGUGUAUAUGCAAUGAGAAAGUCAACAGGGGCUCCAACAACCAGAGUAAAAGAACUCUUUUACUGGUCUCUUUUGACUGUAAAUACCAUCUUGUAAUGCUUAACUAUCAUUACAUUUUGUUCUGUUUAGGGACUAGAAGACCAACUAGGGUAAUCUUUUCUGCAUUAUGACACAUGAGAGAAAAAAAAGUGGUCCUACAUUGAUGGACUGAUAUCUCUGUGCAAAUGAUUUUCAUUUUUUUUUCCAUAGAAGAGUUGGAAAAUGUAAAAUUUGAAUGGCUUCUGGCACAGUUAGUAACCUUAAUAUCGAAAGCAAUAAGAUCAGUCUCCAAUGGACCAAUACUAGCGAGUUCUUUUUUUUUUUAAGAAAAAAGUUUGGAUGAGCUCCGGUCUAAUGACUAUUAUAGGUUAAAACAUGCAUCCGAGAAUACAAAUCGCCCACCAAUUUGAUGAUGGUUCGUUUCUUACCAACUGAAUCAAUUUAUAUUGACUAUACUAGCAAUUAAACUGAAUUCUAUCAUCGUACGGUACCAUCAACUUUUUUUUUUGUUUUCAUUCUUUUGUACCAAGAGCUUCAGUUAACAGCUUAAUUAGGUAAUCAAACAAAUCCAUUAAUAAUGAGAACAGCCGAAAUAUACAUACAAAGAAUAAAGACUUGAAACAUUUCGACCAACUCGUUUUGACAUAAGAGCUGCAAUAUUGCAUAUCUCGAAUAAUGGGGAGGGAGGGAGACAGCAUGAAGAGCUGUCGUUUGAUCAUGUUCAUGCUGUCGUUCUGUGUCUAACUUGGGUUUAUUAUCUUGAGGCUGACACCGUCGCAGCCAUGCACCAAAUGUCUAGAAUUCGAGGUCCGACCAAACCAUAGUUUUUUGUGUGAACGUUUUAUGGUUACAGAAUGGCAUUUUUUAGACUGUAUUGUUAUCUUUAGGAGAGGAGGAAACCCUAUGUAGAGAAACAUUCAGGACAUGAACCGUCUUAAGUACAUGUACGAAGCUUUACUGUAAUGUUUUUCAUGCAAUCCUGUUAUUGUCGGUGAGAAGAAAACCUUUACGCUCAAGCUAUGUAGGUCUGACCUUUUUUUUUCCUCUCCUUUUGUCAUCUAUUAAAAAAAAUCAAACAUCCAUGAUUGGCUAUUUGUUCUUUUCAUAAUGAAAUAAUUCACAAUAUUUUUCUUAAUUCAUUUUUGAGAAGUGGAAGACAAAGGAGAAGAGAAUGGUAGCAUUGAGAACUUGAUCCUUGGCUAGGCUGAAAAAAAAAUACCUUUCCCUAAGAUAUAAUUUUAUUGGGUUUGGAAUGUUAAACUUUGAAUUUUUUGUUUUUCAUGCAACGAUGACCUUCGCUAGGUCAAUAUUAUUAAGGGUUGUGUUUUCAUAAAUCUUAGUAAUAGUUAUUAUUUAUACAACAAAAGUACCAAAAUAAAUUGCUAGAGUUACUUCCCAAUUUUUUUUAGGAGAUAGUACAGAGAGUAGUUAAAAUCUACCUAAAAAACUGCAUUAAUUGUUUCACUUUGCAAUUGUCUACAUAUUUCCAACGCGUUUGAAUGUAAUAUUAUUUGAAAUAAUUAUUAUUACACUUUUUAUGAUGUGAUGUAUGUGAAAUAAAAAAAAGAACUUGAAAUAUAAAAAAAUGCUUUAAAAAUAUGUUUAUGAUAUAAGAAAAAUAAUAUUUGAGAAAAUAUUUGUAUCCAAAUACACACAAACUUUGUCAAAGCUUUGUGGCAUGUUCUCUACUUAUUCAAAAAAAAGCAAGUUUCUUGUAACUUCUUAUUUUAGUUUUUUCUCUUUUAGUUUAAUAAAAGUCAAUAGCUAAAAUAAAAUGCACAUAUAUUUGAGAAAGAGAAAAAGCAAAUAAAUGAAGAAAAAAUCUCAAAGUAACGUAUAAUAUAUAUUCAUACAAAUUCAAAUGAGCAAUUCAUCUUGUUUUCAUCGAAAAAAAAAAGGUUCAUUGUUUACUGAAUUCUAAGUAGACAAUUCAACAUCUACCAUUAAUUUGGCCCGUUUUUGUUUAGUUUAGUUGAAUGCCGAUAAGAACGGCCGCACCCAAUCUGUCUAUCUUUUUAGCUUAGCCGAAAAACUUUUGACUCCUUUUGACUUUCCUGCAUUCGUGGUCGAGAAGUAUAUACCUUAAAAAAAUAAAUGAUUAAUCUUUUCAGACAAUGUAUAUAUUGUUAGCAUUGUAUGAAUGAUAAUUAUACAAAAUUUAAAUUUAAAAUUUAAUUUUUAUGCACAUGUCAUGAAUCAAACGAUAAUAGUGUAUAUACUGUCAGUGUAUAUAAAAUUUACUAAAAAAUAAACUAGUUUUAAUGAAAUGUUCACGCCUUUGUAUGCAACAAACUAAUCUCAAAUCCUCCUUCCAAAUAAAUAAAUAAACAAUAAAGUUCAAAAUGUUUAAGGGAAAUUUUGAAAUAAAAGACUUCUAAUGCUUGGACAACAUUUACUAUACUUUGUUUUAUGAGCAUGAAAAUCAAUAGCUGAUUUAUUUUGCGAGUAUUCAGUAUUGGUGAUUUAAAAAUUUCACAAGUUCAGUGACGAGAAAAUUUUAUAUUCAUUUUCCAAGAAAAUCACCUUGAUUUGGGUUUUUCAAUUCCAUGAUCUUAAGAGGAAAAAUUACAUGUACACAAAAUAUAAGGAAGAGUAAGAAGAAAGAAAAAAAAAAAAUUAACCAAAGUACUAAAGGAAUAGUAAGAAGAAAGAAAAGAUUGAAUGUUGAACAAAUGAAUUAUGAAUUGACAAAUAUAAGGGAAAUAUACCUUGAAAAAUAUGCAAUAAGAAACUCGAAAUGCCAACUCCAACUGCUCUCGGGUUUCACAUGACCCUCUUAAAUUUGUAAUUGCUUUAAUCCACCCAUAACCAUUUAAAAUUCGUUUUAAGAGAAUAAAACAUGGCAACGAAUCCUCAGAUAUGUCAAGAAAUAAUUUUUGGUAAUUAUGUAUUUUUCAAGUGUUCAUAUUACGCUACUACACAUCUCUUGGAUUGUCCGAAUGUUAGCUUUAAAAAAAAAGAAAAAGAAAAGAACCUGCAAUCAAAAGAAUUGGCGUACUAUUAUAGAUUCAAUUUAUUUUGUCUUGUAUGCUUAUUUUAGCUAUCUCUUUCUUCCAAAUGUGCUUAAAAACGUUUCAAAAUGCAAAAUCUAAUACUGGUUGAAGAAGACGUCAAAAAAAAAAAAAAAAAAAGAGACGGAAAGAGGAUUAACUCUUGUAAAGUAAAACCCUUGUUUGGAUUGUAGUUUAACAAAAAAUUUACAUUUUCGGUGAACAUAUUUUUUAGUCAUUUUUUUUACUUCAAAUAUAUCAAAUUACUACAGUAUAUCUAUUGACAAACAUUUCAAAAAAUAGCAAUGCAAAUGAGAAUUACUUUGGAGCCGAAUAAAAAAUGAUGCAUGAACAUAUCUGCAAGAUAAAUAUUAGAAUUGGAUGGUGUUAUUUAAUUUGGGUAUAUUUUGUCUGGUUAAUUACGUUCUGUCCUAUUGUUGUAUCUGGUGCUGCAUGUGACGUACAAUCAUAUUAUAUUUACAUGCACUAAUUUUUUCAACCAUGCAACAAUAUUAUAUUUUUUACAUAUCAAAUAAUAUAAAAAAAUAUAUCAAAUUACAGGUGUAAACAACCUAAAUAAAUCGAAUAUCCCUAAUAUUUUGACGAAUUUGAAAUUUGGUUUGUGUUUGACUUUUUCAAUUCUGGAACCGAGUUCCAACAAACUUUUAUCGAGUUCAACUCGAACUCGAGUAAAUUGAAUUUUUAUAUAUAAAAAUUUUAAUGAUAUACUAAUCGAAUCGAGUUCAAAUCAAAUUUAAAGAAUUUAUCAAUAUAAAUUGCUAUUCAAAUUCAGUUCGACUAAUUGAAAGUUGGAUUCGAGUAUUAAAUAGGUGAAUUCAUCUUGUAUCCUCGUAUCAAAUAGAUGAAAGUUGUUGUUCAUUCAAUUCUUUUUUUUUUUUUUUUGUCAAAUGUUGGUCAUUCAAUUCAAUGUUCACAAAAGAAAAGAGAGUGCAGUCAAUGCAGGCAGGCCAGCCACCAAAUCACCAAGACCUCUCAAGUUUCGCGUGUACACUGUAGCGGCCACCCCACCCCCCCCCCCGGGGUUCUUCCCCCGCAACCCCCUACGCUACAGCCCCCUUCCCUCCCUCUCUCUCUCUCUCUCUCUCUCUACCCAGUUUCUUCUUUUCUCUGUUUCCGCCAGUUGGUAGUAGAAACUAGAAACCAAUAGUAGAAGAAGAGAGAAAAACUGCAAAAAAAAAAAAAUCUUAAUCCCCUUCACAGCAUUCAAUUCUCAAGCUAAAAUGGCUAUUCAAUAUCCACCCAGACAUGGGAUAAGUUCGCGAAGACCAAGCCCAACAACCAUUUCUUCUUUCUCCUGUGUCCUUUUUGUUCUCUGAAAAUCUCUUUUCUCCAUAACUUAGCUGUUUUCCAGCACAAAACUUUUCUCUUGCUUUUUAUUUCAAAUACAGUAGUACUGAAUACUUUGUACUUUUGUAGAGUAUUUUCGCCUUUUCAACUUUCACUAGUCAAAAAAUCAUCCUCUUCAUCAUUUUCUGAUUUUCUCCUUCCCCUGCCUAUGUUGUUUUGAGUACUUUCAAACAAGUUUUGAAUAUAUUUUAGCUCAAUAGUGCUCUCAUCCCACAUAACUUCUCUGCCUACUUUCAUCAGGUUUGCUUUUCUUUCUCCAAUCGAGUUCUUAUUUUGUUUUCUGUUAUUAAGUUUAGUAAUCACCCUCACCACAGAAUUUUUAUUGUGUUUUCUUAAAUCGUUUAGUUUUCUGUUAAAAAAAAAAUUUAUAGUUGGGUUUUUGGUUAUUUUCUUUGAUACUACUUUUUUGUUAUGAUCUUAUUUUUCUAGCUUUCCUGUUGUUUUAGUUUUCGUAGCCCAUAUGCCCCUUUUUGUUGAUUAGUAAUAUCUGUUUUGCUUCUUUUGUUGAAUGAUAUCUUCUUUCGAAAUUAGUUUAUAGAUCCACUGAUAAUAAACAUAGUUGUAGUUUCUCCUUACCUGAAAAUUUUGCAAUCCUUUUCUUAGUAUUAGUUUUUGAAUAUCCGUUCUCGUUGAUAAGGUGCAGUUAUUAUCAUUUAUUUUGCCUUAAAAGAAGAGGUAAAGUAGAUAUACAGUGUAUAGUAGAAGUUUAAAUGAAAUUGGGUUAUUGUAGUUUGGAAAUUGUAAUAUGGUAAAAUAAGAUAGAGUUUAUGUUCAUCAACAAAAGUUAAUUAGUCAUUGAUUGUCGAAGUUAAAGUGGUAGUUGUUCCAUUGUCGAAAGCCAAUUGGAUGUUACCUGGCUUUAAAAUUAAGUUAAUGCGGUGGUUGUGUAGGAUCACAUCAUAUUAGCACUCAUUGAUAUUUACCUUUUAGCAGCAAUUCAGGAAAUAAAAUGAUGCUUAAAGAAAACAUCUGGGAAUGGGGAGAAUAUUUUGAUUGAUGAUAUUUCUGAGCAAUUACUUUCCUGAGUGCUUUUCAUUUGCAUUUUCCUUGGAUUGAUUGUGUACAGAAGUUGGAUUCUGCUGAUUGUGCCAUUGGUAGAAGAUCUUGAUCAAUAAGUGAAUUUGGACUUCAAUAUGGCUGAGGAUUCCAUCAGAGGCUUUGAAGCGUACCUGGUUGAAUGCGGUGGUCCUUUCUCGAAUGCUUUGUCUGAGAUGGGUUAAUGUUAACUUUUGACACCAUAUCUUUCUUGAGUUUGUUUGGGAGGAGAUAGGAGUGAGAAGUAUGAUGGCUGGCACGAGUGAAAUUGUUCAGUCCGUGGAAGAAGUUGAUUGUGAAAACAGAUUAGAUGAGAAUGGUUUUAAGGACAAGGUAUUGAGAACUGGGCACAAGUAUUCUAUAGAGGAUGAUAUCAGCAAGCUUUUUGAGGCAAUAGAUAUUAAGAAUUCUCGUAGGGCUUCAGGUCAAUCGGAAGGCCAUUUUAGAGAUGGAUUAGAUAAGAGUGCCAUGAAAAGACCAAUGCGAGUUGGUUCUGCUCAGGCAUCUGGUAUUGGAAUUUCGGAGUCCACAAGUUUGAAGCAGGCACUAAGAGGAUUAUGCAUCUCUCAGGCAUCAGAGAUGGCUGCUUUGAAAAAACGGCUGGCAAAAACUGGUAUGUCUAGGCACUCAGAAGCAGGAAAUAUAAAGAGACUUUACAGGGCUGUAGUUGUUGAGGCCGGUGAAUCUGGUUAUCCACUUAACCAGGGUCGAGGAAAUUUGGUGGAGAUAUCUCUUGUUCCAGAAAGCAGCACAUCAUUGAAUCUUGUUGGCAACGCACACACAUCUGAGCAUAUGAACAAUAUUGAACUUUCAAAUUAUCAUGCUAGCUCCUCUACUCUUUCAGCAGAUGAAUUGAGACGAAAAGAAGAGUCGACUGAAACACCAGCUAAAGGUGAGAUGGUUCCUUUGUCAAUUUGCAGUGACCUUUCUAAUGCAGAAUUAGAAGAGAAUAAGAAAUUGAAAGUGGAGCCUUCACCAAUUGGCCCUUCUGGUAACAAAAAACUUCAGAUGCUUGAUGAGCUUGUUCCUGUAUCAAUUGGAGUUCCAGAUGCACCGUUUUGUCCAGACAAGGAGCAGGAAGAAAAGUUCCACUCUGCUUCUUGUUCAUCAGUUUCAAGCGCAAACAAGGCAAUCAAAUCAGCAGCCAAUAGUCCACGCUUAAUUAAACCACUUUUUAGGGGCAAAAAUUUUGUUAUGAAGAAACUUAUGUCCAACUCAUCCACUCUGUCCAGUGGUUCCUCUCAAUGUAAUAGUGAAGAAGUUUGCCGGACCCCUGACUCUGCCUUUAGAAAUGGGCCUGAAGAAAAUAUGGUUUCCCUAGAAAUAUGUAGUACGAGUGCAGAGGUGAGCUCAAAGUACGUGGACUCCAAUCCUACAAAUUCAGGUCUCGCUCCAAACAAUACUAAAAGAACUAAAAGUCAAUUUAGGCAGGCUGAUGAAAGAUCAGGGUCAAGGGAGAAGGGAGAGAUAUCACAAAGCUCGAAAAGUAGCAUUGGAGACUACAGCAGUACCACGAGCUCUAGUGAAGAAAGCUAUCUCAGUAGAUCAAGCCGAAGUGGCUAUCGGCCUCACAUGUCAAAGGACUUGAGAUGGAAAGCUAUUCAUUGUAUUCAGAAGCAGCAUGGAUACCUAGGCCUCAAACAUUUCAAGCUGCUGAAGAAGCUUGGUGGGGGGGACAUUGGGAAUGUCUACCUUUCUGAACUAAUUGGCACAAACUGCCUAUUUGCUGUGAAGGUUAUGGAUAAUGAUUUUCUUGCCAGCCGUAAGAAGACGAAUAGAGCUCAAACUGAAAAAGAGAUAUUGCAAAUGCUUGAUCACCCAUUUCUCCCUUCCCUCUAUGCCAAUUUUAGAACAGAUAAAUUCUCUUGCCUAGUUAUGGAGUACUGUCCAGGUGGAGAUCUGCAUGUGCUCAGGCAAAAGCAAUCCAGCAAGAGUUUUGCUGAACAAGCAGCCAGGUACUGUGUCAAUCUACAUAACUUUUUGACUGUAAGUGUAUAUGUUAAUGGGAACCAUGGUUUUGAGAGUGUUUUCCUGGCUGAAUGCUUACUAACUUGAUGCUCUGAAAUGUUGGUUUACGUCCCCAUUCGUACUUCAAGCCAUAUCCCUCACUUUAUAAUUCUCAUGAAUGGGGAUAAAUGAAGUCAUUUCACUUGUCAUGGAGCAAUCUGUGUUAACAGGCCAGUUUUGAAACUUUGUCUCCAGCAAUAUUUUGCUUCAGAAUCAAGUUUGGUAUACUUUGUGUCGGAUCUAGUUGAUGAAAAAUAAUACUACCAAGAAGACUUUUGCCUAUUAUAUGGGGGACGAGUUGUUUUUGAUAACAUUCAAAAUUCUCCACUCAGUGAUUCAACCAAUCUCACUGCAGGGAUUAACAGCUUUAGGAUUUGAUCAGGAGUCAUUGAUUCUUAUGUCUCUUUCAGCUCUGGAAGAUAUGAAACUGUAUGAAUCUGAGUAAUGCUCCUACAAGUAUGUUAACUUUGCAUCCAAAUCAAUUUGGGAGCAUUAGUUUCUGGAAUGUGGAGGACUAACUAAGCCAUUGAUUUCCUUUCGAGAUAUAAUGACCAAAAGAAGUAUGAGUACCUCAUUAGGAAUUAGCAAAAUGUUCAGGAAGCAAUAGACACAAUGGAUUAUGUGGUACCAAAAUCAACAAAUACUCAAUAUUUGCUGUCUCAGGACCUUUGAAAAGGAUGUUUACCAACUUCGAUAACCCGACAAAUACAUUAAAUUGUCAUCCAUGUGAAUGAUUUUGCUGUUUCUUGUGUUUACAUGAAGUAUUUAGGGAUACUAGCUAGUAGUAAGCUUUUAUUGAAAAAAACCAUGACUUUUUUGACAUAGAGCAUGAUUAUUUUAAUAUAAGACCAAUAUGCUUCUUAAUUUUUGGAGAUCUGCUCCAAUUUUCAUUAAAUUCAAAAUCAAAAGAAGGGAAGGAUUUAAAAUGGCUAACUGAUGCAGUUAACAUGCACUUCUCAGUAUGAACCUACAGGAAAUUUUAGCUUCUGAAGGACAUGACUAAAAUCUUAUCAAGUCUUACUGUUCCUUUUACUCCUUGUGUGGUGUCCUCGUUUAGAAAGAAGCACAUGCAAAAAGCUUCAUAUAUUAUUUAACAGUAAGUUUUCUCGUGGUGCAUGAUGCAGGUUUUACAUUGCUGAAGUUCUUCUUGCAUUGGAGUAUCUUCACAUGCUUGGAGUUGUGUUCCGUGACUUGAAACCUGAGAAUGUUUUGGUCCGAGAAGAUGGUCACAUUAUGCUCACAGAUUUUGACUUAUCGCUAAGAUGUGCAGUAAAUCUCACAUUGCUUAAAGCAUCGUCACCUGUUGUGGAGCCUCCAAAGAGGAUGCCAAGUCCUCCCUCAGAAUCCAGCUGCAUAGAUCCUUUCUGCCUUCAUCCAUCCUGGCAAAUGUCCUGUUUCAAUCCCAGAUUUCUAUCUGCUGCAUCGAAAACUCGUAAGCUAAAAUCUGAGCUAGCUGCCCAGGUGAGUCCUCUACCACAGCUCAUAGUGGAGCCUACUAGUGCACGAUCGAACUCCUUUGUUGGAACACAUGAAUACUUGGCUCCAGAGAUCAUAAAGGGUGAAGGUCAUGGGAGUGCAGUAGAUUGGUGGACCUUAGGAAUUUUUGUUUAUGAGCUUUUAUAUGGCAAGACGCCUUUCAAAGGGGCAAGCAAUGAUGAAACAUUGUCCAAUGUGGUAUCUGAGUGUCUCAAGUUUCCAGCAGGUCCCAUGGUCAGUUAUCAUGCUAGAGAUUUAAUCAGACGGCUAUUACAGAAGGAGCCGGAGAACAGGUUGGGUUCUGAGAAAGGGGCAGCUGAGAUAAAGCAGCAUCCGUUUUUUGAAGGCCUGAACUGGGCUUUAAUACGCUGUACUACACCUCCUGAGGUGCCAAAAUUUUGUGAGUUCGGAAGUUUGACUCCUGACAUGGCAUCACAUGAUAAGGAGAUUAGCAAGUUUGUGAAAGAAAAAGGAUGUAGGACGAUAGGAGAGGAUAUAGUGUUUGAUAUGUUUUAGCACAUACAUAUUUAUAGGUUUGGGAAGCAAUAGCGAUGGUUUUUUCUUCUUAACGGGGCUUUCUCAUCUUUGUUAUAACUGACAUAUAGCAUAUACUGUACAUUCAUAUGCAAAAGGAUUGUUUUCAGGCAUAUUGAAGUAUGAUACAUCUUCCAAAACUGUUGUCCCUGUGGUUCUUGUACCAUCUCUAUUGGAUUUUAAAUUGGAGAACUACCUAACUAAAGCUAAAGAUCAGGAACAUAUAAAUGAUCGUUUAAGCAAAUAAAUUUCAUCACAAGCAUCAUAUAAAUUCUGUCUUCGUAUAAACAUGCAGAGGGGAAAACAGAAGUCUACCUUGUAUUCACACUAUCCAAACAAAAAGAUCAAUACCUUCAUUUUGCCGUGUUUCUGUUGCUACAAAAAUUGUGAUUGUGUUAUAAAUGCUCUUGGUAGAGGACAAAACGUCUUCUUGUCUUGAAGCAUUCUCAUGGAAGCAAUCACCUCAGGAGACCUUCUUGAAAUUAUAUAUUCAUUUAGAAAGAUAGAAUUAGAAAAAUACUAAGAGCCCAUUUGAAUUGCUAUUGUAAAAAAGAAUUUACUAUCUCAAUUUGAUGUACGUGUGAUAAAAUGAUGAUUUAAAAAUUUAUUCAUAAAAAUUUUCUGAAAAAUAAGGGUUCGUUUGGAUUCCUUGUUUUUGCACCUGUUUUUGAAAAACUGUUUUUCACAUUCCAAAUGCUACAGUAAAUGUGUAUUUCAAAAAUAAUUCCAAAAACACCCAUAUCCAAACAUUAUAUCAAAAACAACUCCAAAUAUACAAAUUUAAUAUGUAUAUUUCAAUUUAUAUUAAUAUAAUAUAAAUUGAAAUAUAUAAAUUGAAAUAUGUAAAUUGAAUAUAUAAAUUGAAAUAUACAAAUUGAAAAUUAUAUAUUUAUAUGUUAUAUAUGUUAUAUAUUAUAUAUUAUAUAAAUAUUUACAUACAUUAAUAUUAUACAUAAUAUAAUAUAAUAUACAUAAUAUGUAAUAUUGUAUACAUAAAUGUAUAAAUAUUUAUACAUAAUAUAUUAUGUACAUUAUAUUAUAAUAUAUAUAUUAUUAAUGUACUUUCAUUAUUAUGUACAUUAUUGUGUAUAAUAAUGUAUAAUAAAGUUAUGUAUAAUAUAUAAUAUACAUAAUAUGUAAUAAUGUAUAAAUGUAUAUUAUGUAUAUUAUAUUAUAUAUAUACAAUAUUAUGUAUAUUAUACAAAUUGCAAAAUUUUAUAUUAUAUAUUUAUAUAUUAUAUAAAUAUUUAUAUAAUGAAAUAUACAAUAAAUAUUACAAAUUGAAAUAUUAUAUAAACACCAUAUUUAUUAAUAUUCAAAUAUUUAUAAUUAAUAUUAAUGUAUAUUAUAUAUAUUAAAUAUUUAUAAAUAAUAUAUUUAUAUAUUCAAAUUAUAUAUAAUUUAUUUAUUUAAUGUAUAUGUUUAUAUAUUUAUAAUAUAUUUAUACAAAAAAUAUAUAUUACAAAAUUAUAUAUAAUAUAAUAUAAUAUAUAUUAUAUAGAUUAUACAUUUAUAUAAAUGUACAUUUAUACAUAAUAUAUAUAUUUAUGUAUAUUUAUAAUUUACAUUUAUAUUAUGUAUUAUAUAUAAUAUAAUACAUUUACACAUUUAUAUUAAUAUACAUUAUAUUAAUUUUACAUUUAUACAUAAUAUUAAUACAUUUAUAUAUUUAUAUUAAUUAUAUUAAUACAUUUAUACAUAAUAUUAAUAUAUAUUUAUGAUAUAUUAAUUUAUACAUUUAUAUAAUAUUCAUUUAUAAUUUAUAUAUUUAUAAUAAUAUACACUUAUACAUUUCUAAAUAUAUUUAUAUUAUGUAUUAGAUAUAAUAUAAUACAUUUAUAUAUUUUUAUAUAAAUAUAUAAAUAUAUUUAAUUAUAAAUAUUUAUAAAUGUAUUAUAAAUGCAUAAAUAUAUAUUUAUAUAAAAUUUAUAAUUUAUAAUUUUUACAUUUAUAUAAUAUUCAUUUAUAAUUUAUACAUUUAUAAUAAUAUACAUUUAUAUAUUUAUAAAUAUAUUUAUAUUAUGUAUUAUGUAUAAUAUAAUACAUUUAUAAUAUAUUGAUAUAUUUUUAUAUAAAUAUAUAAAUAUAUUUAUUUAUAAAUGUAUUAUAAAUGCAUAAAUGUAUAUAAAUAUAAAAAUAUAUAAAUUAUAAAUUAUAAAAUACUCAAAAAUAUGUUUUAAAAAUACCUCUAAAAAUAAUCCAAAAAACAUCUACAGUAAAAGUUUGUCAUAUAGUUUUUGAAAAACAACCCCAAAAACAACUAAUCCAAACGGACUUGUAUUUCAAAAACGAAAUGCUACAGUAUUGUUUUUGAAAAACAACCCCAAAAACAGCUAAUCCAAACGGACCCAAAGGCAAUCGAAACAAGAGCUUGAUCUCAAACGUGCCAGAGCUUUUAAUGGGAGGCUCUCAGCCAACCAAAUCAACUCCCAUUGCCAAAAAUCUAGCAUGGCUAAACCCUUUCUUUUUUGGGUUUUCUCUCUAGUCCUCUCUCUUCCUUUCAUUGUGUACUUUUUAUAUGACAAUUGGCAAUUUUUCUUUCAAAAUUUUGGCAAUUUUUGACAUGACCUCAAUAAAUUUUCAAAUCUUGAAAUGGCCCACAAUUACUAGCAAGAAAAAGAGAAACUGAAUGCCUCUCCCUCCAGACAGAACUACAGAAGGACAGCAAGAAUCUCAUCACCAAUUCACCAUUCCAAAAUCACAGGAAAAAGCUAAUGAGGGCCUUGUACUACUACACAUCAUUGGCUGCAGCUUCAACAACUCCAAAGUUACCAUAUUGCCACUCCUCUCCCACUCUUCUUCUGCCCCCACCAAAAUCCCAGUUAUUUCCACCCGUUCCAAAAAAAUUCCCAUUUCUUAAAAGCCCCAGAAACAGUGUACAAAACAAGAAGAAACCCUUGAAUCUAAUAAUCAAAGCAACAAUGGCCUCCACACCGUCAGCUGCAGCAACUGACUCAAGGACGAAGCCUUUUUCAGUUCUUUUUGUUUGCCUUGGCAACAUAUGCAGAAGCCCAGCUGCUGAAGGUGUUUUCAGAGACUUGGUGAAAAAAAGAGGUCUUGAUUCUAAGUUCAAUAUUGAUUCUGCUGGCACCAUCAAUUACCAUGAGGUAGGGAAAAAAAUUACCCUUUUCAUAUUUGUCUAAUAUAGUGAUGUUGGUUGGUGUUUUCCUCCUUUCUGUUUUUAACUUAUAUAAAUGCAUUUCUUUUUUGUGCUAUUGUUGAAAUUGUUGUUGUUGUUGUGUAUUUUAAGGGUGAUCAAGCUGAUCCAAGAAUGAGGGCUGCCUCUAAAAGGCGUGGAAUUGAGAUAACUUCAAUAUCAAGGCCAAUUAGGCCCUCUGAUUUUAUAGAAUUUGAUCUUAUUUUGGCAAUGGACAGAGAAAAUAGAGGUUAAUAUACACCACUAUGACUUAUCUGUUGUCAUUCUUUUAUUUUAGUUAUUGGAUCAUCAGUGCUUCGGUAAUAUGCCCAUGGUUUAGGCUGAUGAUAUAGUCUACAUCCUGCAGAAAAAAGAAAUGAAUUUAGUAGAGUACAGUCAACCUGUGAAAAUUCUUUACAACUGGUUGCACUUAUGCUAAUAUGAAAUGAAAUUUGUUUAUCUGAUAUCUAUGCUGUAUUAUAUGUAGAGGCUAUACUUUCAGCAUUUGAGAGGUGGAGGCAUAGAGAACCUUUGCCUGCUGAUGCUGCUAAGAAGGUUGGUUGAGGACGUGUGUUCAAAAAAUAGACAAGGGUUUUGUAAUUAUUUGAUAAUUUAGGUUGAUUCUGCAGGUCCGACUAAUGUGCUCUUAUUGUAAGAAGCAUGAAGAAGAUGAAGUCCCAGACCCCUACUAUGGUGGACCACAGGGUUUUGAGAAGGUAAUAGAUAUAAAAUCUUUUGCUGAAGGUGCAAUGAUGACUUUGUUAUUGUUGUCAUUUUUUUAAAUAUUUUUGUGUGUUUUUGUUUUUGUUGAAAGGUGAACUGAGAUCAGAUGCUGCAAUACUAUUUUGAUGUUGCCAUAUAAGAGCUUUUAUGUACUAGAUUGGUACAUAUUCAUUACCUACUUCUACACUGUUACAACUUCUGUUGACUAGUGUCACACCUUCAUACAAAUUUCACUUUAUCCCCAUUGGUAUGAUGGACCAAAUCGAAUCACUAUGAAUACACAAUCAGCCAUGUAAACACUAGGAUGUCCUUGAAGGCACAUGGAUCUUUACAUUCCCUAAUGGAUGAAAUGUAGGAAGCUGACAAUGAGGUUACUAGCAUAUUGAUAUCUAUGGUUCCUACUUUCCUAAUUAGCUUCCUUGUAUCUGUCUCGGUUGGAUUUUGGAGAAUCAUGAAAGUGAGAGGAAAGCCAGAAGCAGUGAAAAUUAAAAAUGUUGUGUGUUUUAUACAUGCAUUAGGUUGAAUCCUGUUAUUGAUAAAUCAUUCAUGAAGCCUGACGUUGGAGAAUUACUAGCUGAUAACCCCUUGUAUUUAAACUGGCCUUAUAAAGUAUGACGUGCUGCUUUUAUUGAGUGCAAGAGUAAUUGAUGUUUCACAAGCUAGGACAACUGAACCUGGAUCCGCCUGUUUUACGGCUGCUGUAGAAUGCAUUUAUCAGGAGUAUGUUUAGACUUUUCUGAAUGCCUCAUCCAAAGGUUCUUUUUGGGAAUUCUGCUUUCCUCAUUGUUUUUGUAGUGCCCGCUCUUAAUGCUUCUGAGUGUCUUUCUUUUUGCUAUAUGGAUACCUUUUAUUUAUUUUUUCUUUUUAUAAAAAGAUGUGUACUUCCUUUACGUUGUUUAGUGGUAGUCCUAGUUGCUCACAUCCUAAUCUUUGUCCACGAAUAUUUUGGUCAUUGCAGUCCAUCAUUAGUUCAAGAGAUUUUGAGUUACCUAAGUAGUUGUUAGAUGAUUCUGGAUUUCAUUUCUCUAUCUUGGUUGUGGCACUCCAGUUAUGAGAUGACACAGUGUCUCAUACAUACAGCCCUCUUGCUACUUUCUGCAAAUGCUUGAAUAUUAAGCAUAAGACUUCGGAGUGUAUUUUUUCUAAAACGGAUUCUUUUUAAUUUUCUUCUUUUAUGGCAGGUUUUGGAUUUACUUGACGAUGCCUGUGAGUCACUGUUGGAAAGCAUUUUAUCAGAAAAUACAGAAUUAGCUGAUUCUUAGAUGCAUACUGCAAGCCGAUUCGUCAGAAGAUGAGAUUUCUGAGCAUCAUUGCUAGUCCAAAGAUGCUUCGCCAACUAAUCGACAUGAAUUAUUUAUUACAAAUUUGCUUACUUUCAUCACGGGGUAGAUGAGACACUGAUUACGGUCAAAGCUUGAUGAAGUAAAUUCAUAAAUUUGCGUGUAUGAAGUUGGUUGUCAAGCCAAACCAACAUUAUCGAAAGCUGCAGUCUGGAAUGGGAAGUUUUUUCCCUCUGAUGCUCUUCUUUUACUUGGCUUAAACAUUUCUGGAAUUGUAAAACUUUUGAUGGUGAACCUUCCUGUUUGACGAUGCUGGAUUGUUGAUGAAAAGGGUUCUUUGUACCCCUCUUGGUUUUACAAAACAGGGAUGCUACAUUUGAGCCCCUAAAUCCUCAAUAAUGACUGUAAAAGAGGAAAGAAACAAAGGCGACGCUUCAAUGCUUGGUCAUUUUCUGUAGAAUUCCAAUCAACCUGUAUCAGGGAAAUGCCACAGAAAGCAUUUGUGCCAAGAAAGAAAUGAGGAAACUAUAACAAUAACUGCAAUUGUGAAUCCACUUUAAAUGAUCUCAUGUGGCUCAUCUUAAUGGAUGCGGGAAUUGGAUGCUUCGUGGUAGGGAUGGCUCUAAUGUGGCAUCAGCUGACUUCUUUUCUGUCAUACAGCAAACACUUCAUCAACUGAACUGGUUUGGUCACAAAGAUGAGAUCUAUAUACAAGCGGGACAAAUAGACCCGUGAUUUUUACUUGUUAAGACUGUUAUGUACAUGAAUACGUAAUAACACAGGAUAAAAGCUUUGCUCGAGUGCCACAGAUUCGUUGUCGCCAAAGGGGGCUAAGCUUUCGGCAUAUCAAAACUCUUCUCAAAUUACGAAGUUGUAUGGUCCUUGGGGAGCUAAUUCAUAUGAUGUAACUCUGCUUCAAUUUUCUCCUUGGACGCUUCUUUGGAUUAGCACUAAGCGCAUUUGAGAGUGCAUUUACCAAUUCCGAAUCUUCUACGUUGAUCAGCUUCUUUGCUGCCUUCGGAUUGGAAAUAAGGAGCUUUGCGACGAGAUAUCCAGCAAUGGACCAGGUUUGAAAGAGUCGUGCCUGUUUACCAAUAAAUCUUGCUCCCUUGGUGUCAUAAUAUUCGGGCCACUUGUCUCUUGCUAUCCGUCUCUCGGCAACUUUGAUAGCAUUUUCAGCAAUCUCUGGCCGAUUCAUCUUUAUGCAUGCAACGGUCAACUGAAAAAAAAAACAGUAAUUUUCAUGCCAUCAACAUAUAAAUUACGAAAAGCAUUCGAGAUGAGAUGGUUAAGAAAAUCUUCAAAUGCCAGAUUCAAUUGUUAAAUGGCCAAAUGCCGACUCAACUAUCAGUAACGUUAUUGGACAGGCAACCCAACAUCUAUUACAUGCUACGAGGCAUGAGAUUUAGAAAAAGCAGCAGUUCUUCCUUUAGUGAGGGGCACAAGGUAUCCAUCUAACGACAAACUUGUACAAGGAGAUUCCUGAUAUUCAUUGUCAUCUGCUAAAUGAGAAAACCAUAAUCCAAAACCCUCUCUUUGUCCCACUGAAAUCAAUUGAAGAAAGUUUCUGAACUAAUGCAUGACUAAUAGAGAAAAUACACGGUAGUACGUGGUUAAGCUUGCUCAGCAUAUUGCAAGCUUGAGCUAACAAACUUGUUUAGACCCCCUUCCUUUCUCCAAUUCCUUGUAAAAGAUAAACACAUGACUUGUCAUCCAAAAGGUUCCAGUACCAUUGAAGAGGAAUCUUACCUCUCUUCAAUAUCAAUCAAGUAUGUAGAGCUCCUAAGAAGACACAAAUUUCAUAAUGCUACAUCUUCUUAAUGGUUUAUCCAUCUGAAAAGCUCAAAUCUGAGUGGAUUGUUUUCAAAAGUAGGAAAUGCAUGUGUCAUCAACACUAACUCAAAUUUGAUAUAGCUGCAUCUCAAGACAAGCAAGAUGCUAUCUAAUGUCUGACAAACUUUGAGGCAAAAUCAUGAAUUAAUUUUAUUAAGCUCCAGAACACAAAAAAGCACUGGUGGACUGCUGCAGGACAAGUGGUAUGAAGAAAAGUGGCACGAGUAUUAAAACAAUAAUGAACAUAAUACCAACCUGCCAGAGCAGUGUCGGCCAUGCGCCUGCAUUGUGGUAAGACCAAGGCCUGCAUCAGAAAUUUCUGCUUUGAGAAAAAUUCGACAAUUAAUAAAGAAGAAAAUAGUAUCACAAACGACAUGGAUAAUUACGUGUUCUUUGGAUCAUAGCCCGUAAUUAUUUGCCACUCCUCGCCCUCAAGAGCUGGGUAACAUAUCUUUAAUGGCAUAUUAGCUACAAUAUCUUCCCAUUUGGCUUCAAUAAGAUCUAGUAUGGCAUGCGACUGGUCAGUGGUGGCGAGACUACUAAUAAUAGACCACAAAUUUCCAAGAGAGAAGAAACGAAAAUCCAUGUGAGCUGGCUGCAGGUUUCCAAUGAAAUAGCCUCCUGUGGUGGGCAUCCAUUCCACCAACCAUGGAGGUAUCUGAUCAGGGUAUAUGUUGAACUUGUUAACUGCAUCAUAAGAGUAUUCUUCAGUCGUAUAGCGAUAUAUUUCAUUGAGUUUCCUCAUAUCGAUCCAAUAAUACUCUCUGAUGUGAAACGAUAAUGCUACGAGACGAUUAUUGAGUGCUCUAAUAAGGUCAGCUGAUGCUUCCUCAGGAACAAGCAUCUCACGAGCACAAAGUAAGGCAGAAUAGAACAAUGCCUGAAGAAAUCAAUAAAUAUCACAUGUCGAAUUAUGCUAAAGCUCUGAAAGAAGGAUAUUCAACUACAUACAAAGUGAUUUAAAUAAAAAAAGAAAAACAACGUUGAGUCCUAAUUUUUGUGAUAGUUUCAGAAGUAUCUACAUUGCUUAAUAGUCGCACAAGUAUCUACGUUCCUUAACACCAAUAAUCACACCCCAAAAGAAUGCACUCAUAAGCAACUGUAACUGACUGACGGUAGAUAAAGGUGUUGCAGAUGAUAUAAAGACAAUAAGUGUGGAUCCAGAAAUGGAUAUAAAAAUGAAAACCUGAAUUUCCAGAGGAUGGCCAUGAAUUCCCAUGCGGCGAUCUAUCAUGCAAGAACCAUCAGUAACUAACAAAGUAGGAAACAUGUCAAAACCAUCUGCAAGACAUAGCUUCAAAAUCAUCUUAAUCCCUGUUUGAACAUCAACUCGCUCCUGAACUGAAAGAUCACCAGAAAACUUCCCAUAAGCUCGUAGCAAUAUGAUCCACCACAGUCCUUCAGGGACAAAAGAGGAAAACAAAAGAAAAUCAAUGUUAAUACAGAUUACUUAAUCUAAAAGAAUCUUUAUUUUCUACAUGUCAUGCAAGAGAAACUAGUUACCAGAGUCAACUGGUGCUACCCGACCAAUUGCUGCCUCUCCAAAAUCUGGGUCCAAGACCUCUUCUGUUGCAGAAUCAUCACCAUCAAGUGGAACAGUACGCACUUUAAAGCUGGCAGGCAUCAAUCCUUGACCUGGACUAUGACAAUCCAUAGUUUUCUCCCAACUCUAUUUAUAACAGGAGAGAUAAGUUACUUAAAUUGUCAAACACAGUUUCUCUGUCAGAGAUAAUAACAAAAUUUAAACAGUUCUUUAACCUACUGGAUUCAUAAUCAUUCCUCUAGCUUUAUACCUAUAUUAUUUCACGAAUAAUACGUACCAAGAUCUGACUUAAGAAAGAACAUAUAGACUGGCACCAUAUUCAUUUCAGGUACUUGUGUAAAUGACAUUGAAAAAAAUGCGCAAUCGGGCUGGCUGAAAAAUGGUGGCAAAUCCCAGAUUUGAAGCUUCCCACAUCCCCCCUCCCCUCCCCUCCAAAAAACCCCCAAAAUAGGAAGGAUGUUGCAAGCUGUGUACAGCUAGACCUGGAGUUACUUUUUGAUUCAAGAAACCUUUUAGAGAAUGAGGGGACCUAGUUUUGCAAGUAAAAGCACUUGUCCAACAGUGACAUGAAAGCUGUGGAAGCCUUGGCAAAGCAGACCUUGAUGUAUAACCAAGAACCACAGCAAUAAUGCAAACCCAAGAAAAAGUGCCAACCGAUUCAAGGAACAAUAGCUACUAUUAUCAUGAUACGGUCUCAGCCAAUAAGUCAAUGUGUUAACAGCUUAGACUUUGAAAGCAUGAUGCUGUAUUCCAGUCUAAACUUUGUGAAGAACCAACAUAACCAAUUCAGCUUGUAGCAUCCUAGCAAAGGUGUUUGCAGAUGAAGAAACAAACUUCACAUAUCCAACUAUAUCAAUUUCAUAUGAUUUUUAGGGUGUGCAUAAGACUUCUCCCUCUUAAACCUUUAUUAAUCACUAUUGAACUUCUCCUCUGUUAUCACAAACUCAGCCAUUAUUCCUACUACACCAAAAAUACAUGAUACCAUUUUAUGUAAAAUUGUACAGUUUUCUACCAAAAUCGUCUUAUGCAUAACGAUGCUAGUGGCAAUCAUAAUAGGCUUCUAUAAAUCACGCCAAACGAAGGAAAAGAACAUGCAUACAAAAUUUGCUCGCAAGAAGAACACUAGGAGUACUAUCAAAUACUUAAGUUCGCAACAUGAGAAGAGGCAGUGAUGAUAUGAGAAACGGAAGGCAUACACGUGCUAUUGCUCAAGGAUCACCAUGUACCUAAGAAUUUAUUCCUCCAAGACAGAAAGGAGCAAUUUUCAACAAUCAGAAUCAACACUUUCCCCUCUUUUCUCAUUCUAUAUUCCUCAUCAGUUAGUCUGAGAGUCGAGAAACUGUUCUUCAUAGACUAUGCACGUUGUUGACUUCGCCAAUACAAUUACAUGCUCAAAAUAUCUCAUACAUUAACUGGUGCAGAUACAUAAAGUGUGAGAAGUCUCAAAGUGUUUGUAGUUUACCUGCAACUGAAGGGUGUGAAGAAUGAAAUUCCGAACAAUAUCAUACUCUCCUUUAAGCAGAAAAGCCAUCCCAGAAGGUAUGAAGUCCCUGAUAAAUAUCUGAUCAUAGUUGAGAAUGUUAGCAGCACUCGGAUCAUUUGCAGCAAUUGUUCCUAUAGGAUUACCACAAUAAUACACAAUGGAUGCUCGCAACAAGUUCCAUGCUUCAUCCUCAAUAGAAUUAAUUCCAAAACCCUGCAACGUGUCACUCAUUUCCGAAGCUGCAGCAAUUUCAUCAUCAGAAGUAAUCACUGUCUUCUCAUUAUUCAGCAGUUUAGGCCCUUCCAAACUUUGCAAACUCGAAGGCUCCGACAUGCCAUUCACUGAUUUCCCGCUUCCAACCUCAACGAUUGCCUGACUAACACUCUCAGUCCUCUGGCAUUUACAACUUAAAGUCUCCAAACGCCUAUUAAGUUUCCCCACACUGUAUAAUCUGCUGAUGGCACCACGUCCUUGGACCCUCAAGCAUCCUUGAAAAUCUACAGGACCCUUUAGCUGUUCACACAGAAUAUCCUUAUCCCAUUUGCCUUUCACAUAGUUCUUGACUGAAAAAUAUGAACUUGAUCUUGUAAAAUAUGACUUUGUAGUAGUAUAGUGGCAGGGCACCGCCCCAAAGACCAACUGUAUCGAACUUCCCAUUUGCGCUACCAAUUUCAGAAUAUUGUUCCUCUGGACAUAAGCACAAGUCUGGGAAUAGGCAAUAGAAAUUAUCAGCCUACUCUAAUCAGCCAACUUAGUAAAAACACAAGAAGCAGUACACAAGCGCAGUGGCAAAACAGAGUAAAUCCCAUUAUACAUAUCAAAAUUGUCAAAAGGGAAGAACAAGAAAUGAGUACAGAGAGUUAUUUAACAAAAAUCUGGACUGGUAAAUGGAGUGAAAGGCUUUACUUACUUGAAUACAAAAAGUUCGAGUUUUUGAAUAAGCAGACACUGUUCUGAAUGCUCUUCUGCUGGAGAUAAUUUCAGGGUUUAAGUGAGGGUGUAGAUUAAGCAGCGGGGAUGAUGGUUUGAUGGGGUUUCUUUCAGACAAAACUCCAGGGGCCAGUAGGCGGUACGCUGGGGCCAAAAAGAAGCCAAGGCGAAGAUUCUACAGCAACUAAUGGAGUCGAGCUUGUGUUUGCAGUUGUGGGUCUAAUUUGUUCUUCCGUGGAAUUCACGGCAGGCACUUAUUGCCUGCUAAAUUGCUUGAUUCAGCAGGCUCUGAGCUAUCCCCAUUGUCGUCUUGUCUUUGAAUUCACAUUUAUUUCCUUUUUCAGUUUUUUGGUAUAUAGCCACAUUAAGGUGGAGAUUCCUAGAAUAUAUCGGCCUUAGAAAAUUAGGCUACAGCUUUUUCUUCUUUUUUAUUGGAAAAAAAUGUAGCCUAGAUUUAAAUAACAUUUUUUAAUUAUAUUUUUUCUUUUCUUUUAUUUUAUAAUAACACGGUUUGAUAUAAAUUGAUACUAAAAAAAUAAUUUUUAUACAAAUAUUUUAUUAAAUCUGUACAUAGCAUAGAGUCAAAGUGCUAAUAAAAACAUAUAAAAAACGAGUUAAUAUAUUAGCCUAAACAUGCUUGCUUUUCUCGAAGUUUCAUCAAUUUGUAUAUAAAGCAUAAAAUAUGUUUGCUUAUUAGCGCUUUACCUUAAGUUUAAUUCUCUGUCAAAUUAGCAUGCGUUUUUCACAAGCAAGUUUAUAGUCCUACACCAAUAAUUACAGAUUUGAUUAAAAUUUUCGCUACAUAAAAUUUUGGCAGAUGAUUAUCCUCACAUAAAAUUUCAAUCUCUAGGUCCUGUCGGACCUCUCUCCCUAGUGUAAGCUAGAAUAGAAGUAAAUUAGACUAGAUGUUGCCGUCUGAUAAAAAAAAAAAAAAAGACGAUUAUCCUCACAUUCGAGUUGUCUAACCACUUUGGCAAAAUUAUGAAAUAUUGUAGAGAUAUUGGUCUUAUGGACAUCAACAUAUAGAUUCACAUUCUGUGUUCAAGAUCACCAAGCUUUAGUACUACUGCAUUAACAUAUUGUGUCACUAUUAACUGCUUCCUCCAAUUACAGCAAAGGCAUGAGAAUUACCUACCCAUCUCAAACCUGUCAAUACUUGCAGCAUAAGAAUUACAAAGGCAUGGAUAAUUUACAGAACGUUGCGCACAGAACAAACAAAAGAACAGGUGGAAUGCUCCACCAUCCCUAGCACGUCUGAGGAACCUAACAUCUAUCUUCUGUGCAUGCCUCUUCCCGAGCUGACACCUAAUCCUCCCAAAAGAAUAGAAAGUUCCUACAGUUAAUUCUACAAUUUACACAUCACAUAUCCUCCAUGUUAUGAUCAUUGUCAUUGUCACCGUCAUAAUAUUCAUCAUCACGCUGGAUUUGCUUGUCUUGGGUAUGUUCUGCAAAGCAAGUACAAUAGAAAAACUAGCAGAGUUAAAAUCAUCUUUUAUUAAGACGAGAUCGCAAAACCAUGCGCAGAUAAAAAGUAAUUGCAUUCUUUAGUGAUUUGUUUAGCUUGGCAGUUCCACUUACGAUCCAUGCGUUCAUCAGGAUUCUGCUCAUCUUCAUCAAAAUCAGGCAGGUAAAAAUCUGGAGGUACCUGCAAAAUGGAAGACAAGUUUCGUCCUUCAAUGGCACAAUCAUGUACUGGAUACAGCGUACAGUCUUUCUCAUCAACCAACAACUAUAUUGAGUGAAGGAGGUAACAGAUCAUUAAAAACUACAAUCAAAGCUUUACAUCACCAAUCAGAUGGCAGUCAGAACCCACAACCUCAAGGGUCUGUGGAACCAUAGAUCUACAGAAUGUAUUUGUACAAUCUAUGGUUCAACCAUCAAUCCCAAAAGGCAUAACUACCUACUCACUAUUCUUGUUUCAAUAAACUCGAGCAUUUAUAUACAACACAAAUGGCUCAUAUUUUCUUGACAAGAUGGUAUCCAAAAUUUUGAAGUGUCCUAUCAAGUUACCUCUUGCAUCUGUACACUAGGAGCAUGUUGUAUGUAACGAAGAUUUUCCAGUACAUUCAUCUUUAUUGUGCCAAGAUAGGACUUGCUAUUAAGGUUUUCCUGCUCAAUUAAGAACAUAGGAAAAAAAAAUUAAUGACCAUUGAGGAACACUUGUCAAAUAAUUGUAAUGUGAACUGCACCAUAUCAAUCAGUAAAACUGAUCAAUCAAACUUUCAAAUCGGAAGGUCAAAUGUGACUGAAAACAGUCUUAGGCUUUUUCAAAUAACAAUUGGAAAGAUGCCCAUUAAACAACAACCAAUCUCAGGCACCAGCAACCAAUGAAAAACUUCACGUACUAUGUGUCCACCAGGAAUCUUCAGCGAAUAGUCUGGUUCAAAAAAUUUGAUGUAAUCAUUUUCUGGGAUCUCUGCAAGAAUAGGGAAAAUUCGAGUCACUUUGCCAUGCGGUAACAUGCAAUAUAAGGAGUGCUUCCCCUAUCAGUAAUCUCACUACCUCCAGUGUAUGCUGGAGGAUAUGAAUAGCUACCCCAGAGAAGAAAUCUAAACCCCCAGAAUAAAGUAAAUUCCAAUCCGUAGAUGGACCAUGUCAUAAAUAAAUAGCAUCAGAAGUCUUCCAAUUCUAGGAUAAGCCAAUCAGAAUAAAUGCCAAAGGAACAGCACAAACUAGCAGAAUUGUGAGGAAACCAUAAUUGCACGCAUACCAUUAGGAAGCUCCAUGUCUAAAAGAACUCCAGUUUCAAAAGCCCAGCAUCUAGCAACAUUCUCUUUGGUGUAUCCUCCACCCCCAGUUAUCUGCAGGAAGGAUUUCUCCCUAUAAGUGUAGUCUAUGGGACUGCAUUAUUAUUUAAUUUCAAUUUAACUAUCCAGAGACAAACUUACCAGAAGGGGCAAAUUGAAUUUCUUCACAAAACGAACGCAUUCAGCAUGCCCUAUUACAUGCAUAGAUAUACUAAAAUUAAGAUUGCAGCACUUAGCUUACAAAAAGAGAAGAUGCAAUAGGAUUCUAAACUGCAGACAAGACUGGUAGGGAAAAAACUAUUUCAAUUACAAGUAGAAUAGCACCAUCUAUAGAAAGGUUGAAGCAGCCCAAACGAUCCCCUGCGAGAGAAUCUGCCCCACAUUGGAGAACAAUUGCCCCAGGUAAGUAUGUUUCAACAACCUUCGAAAUAAUCUACAGAACAUAGCGCAGGAGAGAGGUCCAUCUUAACAAUAUACCACAAUUUUGAAGUAGUCCAGCAAUGCAGAGUCAUUACAAUAAAUCACAAUUUUUAAGCAGUCCACCAGUGCAGAGUCAUUGAAACAACAAGAAAGUAUAAAUACAACAUUUUCGUCACUCACGGUUUUGAAGAGUCGAGUAAAGCUGUUAUCAUCUAUUCCAUCCUUGAGAGGGACAUUGAUGGCAUAAAAUUUUCCUUCUCUUUCUCCAAUUUCCUUCAGAAUACAUGCAAAAUGUGAAUAUCACUCAUUAAUAAAUAUAUGAAUGAUAAAUAAAUUGGUAAAAAAAAAACCCAAUAAGCCCAUCCAAAAUAAAACAGCAAGACUUAAAUUGGUGAAAGUCAAAUUUAAUGAAAGAGUGGCAUAGCUGGUGGUACUAUAUAGAUGACAAGCAAAAAGACAGCUAAAAGUAUAAAAUGAAAUUGGAAUACCUUGACAUUUUGAACAUAUAUGACUAUAACUAUCUUCUAGUUAUUUGAAUGCAGUAUCAUGAUCUCCAAAACCAUUCUACUAUACCAAAUUGCAAGGAGUUCACUACAUUAGAUUAAGUUAAGAAAGUACAUGAAAUUAGAACAGCUUUGCAUAUUAAAAUUGGAGGAUUCAGGCAUGAAUAAACAAUCAUUAUUUUAAAAAAGGAACAGAAAGCAAUCUAAAAGAACUGAACAGCAGAAUGGCACAAAUCUCUCAUUGUGCCCGAGUACAAGGUAGGUCAUUCCCCAAAAUUCUUCCAGAAGAAGAAACUGGUAUAAUGCUAAUAGACUUAAUGUUUUUAUACAGAAAAGUUCCAUCUUAAACUGCACAUAAGCACUCCAUAGCUAUAGACAAGUGGAUUGAAAUACUGACUGGGGUUCUGCCUUCAGAGGAAGUCCUGAAGUAAGUCAUGCACAGACAAGGUAAAGCAAACCAGUCACAGAAGAACAUUACACAAUGGAUACUUGCAUGCAUCUGCCAUCUCAGGAACUACUUCUCUCAAAAGUCGGUUUUGUCCUCUUAUGGGAUUUAUUCUUCUCGUCAGUGCCCAAGGUAGAAGAAAGCAAUACAGAAAAGGGGGAAAAAACCAGUUUCUCAUAGUAAAACAAUCUAUCAGCUACAUCAUUAAUUUCUUAGUUAUCUAAAGACAAGAAGACCCACAUAAAGGUUAAACGCACAAAGGCCCCAGAAUCAAGAGCUAAAAUACAUGUAACAUCUAUGAUAGUAAAGACUUAGAUUUAUUGCAGGAACUCAAUGGUUACAGAAAAAGAUUUUCCUGAGAUGUGCAUGUUUAAGAGAAAACCUUUGCAUGUUAACCAAAACGUGCUCACAGAUAGAAACUAAUGAUGUUACAUGAAUCUAUGAAUUUUAAUAGCUCAUCAACUGUUCCUGAAAAGCAAAAGAUAGUUAAAAGCAAUUACCUUGACAUCACCAGUUCCAGGAAAAAACAUAUCGCCAUACUUGUGGAAACUAACAGUCAUAACCCUGCCAAGUAAAAGUAUUCUAAAUCACUUGAAUAAACAAGUAAUGAGUCAUGUCACAUGUUCCAUCAUUAGCAGCCAUCUCUCUACAAAACCGAAGUGUAUUCAAAUGUAUAGGUUAACCGAUAUCGUGGGCUUAAAGGGUAGACAACAAUUCCAGAAACUAAUGGCAACCAGCAGAGGUAGCAGAUAUCUAUACCUAAGAUCAUAAUAUGAAAUACACAGAUGUUAUCCCUUAGCAGUGCAAUCUGAAGUAAACUAUACAUGGAUGAUGAAGGUAAGAUGCUAUCUUAUCCAUUGCAACAUAUACUGCAAUAGCAACUUACAUUCUGGUCCAUGGUAACACAGCCAGUUUCAGUGAUAGAUAGACACAAGAACCAAAUCCAAGGACUCAUUCUGGUAAUAGAAUGUGUACAAACAAAUAAGGAUAGGGCAUUCAACUAGCUCUUAUUAGCUGAAUAAUAUUGAGCAAUCCAAAAACAGGGAAAAGUGAAAUUCAUUUUUAUCCCCUGAAGACAUAUGUAUAGGAUUCAGCAACAACCCUAAUAGUAGAUUCUCAGAGUUAAUUUGAUCUAAUUACCAUUAACUAAACCAAUUCAUUAACAAAUUAAUACAUAUUAAAAUAAUAGAAAAAACCCCCACUCAAACAAAAUAUCAAAAUGGAAAAACUAAAUAUCUAAACCUUCCUAUGGUAUUAUGCUGAAUUCCUUCCUGAAGUAGAUAAGAUAUAAACUUUCCUCAGAGCUCCAAAAGAGGGGAAGGCAAAUAACAAUCUUUAGACACAAUAAAAAAUUUUAUUACCUAUUAGUGAAGUAAAAGGCCUCUUCUACACCAUCCCCAUGAUGCACAUCAAUAUCAAUGUACAGCACUCUGGCAUGAUGCUUAAGAAGCUCCAAGAUUCCAAGAACUAGAUCAUUAAUGUAACAAAAUCCAGAUGCCUCACACUUCUUGGCAUGGUGCAAUCCACCAGCCCAGUUUAUGGCAAUGUCACAAAGCUCAUUAUUCAAUCUGUGUGCUGCAUCUGCAAAUCAACAAUAAUUUAGAGUCAGCAACUGUACAACAACUAAGCUCAAGUAAGGAACAAUCCUAAAUUAUAACCAGAUUACCUAUUGUUCCUCCAGCAUAAAUUUGGCAAAACUCAAACAAGUUUUCGAACACAGGGCAAUCUUCGCCGAGAUUAUCUGAAACAAAUAAUAAAUGAGCCUCGUAAAAUAAAAAUCCUCACACAAUACAUGGUACAUGAAACAAAUAAAUGAGAAAGAAUCAUAUCUGAACACUCUGAAGAGCUAUCAGAAUUGUAAUUUCAGUUGACCUAUAAAGAUAGAAAAAGUUUUAAGCUUUAACCAAUUGCACAAGAUAAUGGACAGCUAUAAUCGCCCUUUCAUUAGCCUAUAGGGGGAAAAAAUCAAAACUAUGAUCAAGCAAUCAACUGCAGUUCAGCCCAAAUAACACUAAACCCUCAGAUUAAAGCCAAAAAGUUCCAAUUUUGGUACUCCACCAGCAUACUAUAGACCACAAAUAUCCAUAAAAAUAUGAACUUGCAAACAAAAUCCUACAAAAUUUUGCGUGAAUCAUCACAAGUCUUACACUUCGCCAAUUCAUUAGGGAACAAAUGCUCAGUGCUGGGAGUAAUCCUAUGCAGAAACUCCACAUAAUCAGCCGAAUGAAACUGCGCUAGCUCCACAGGAUACGCUUUGUGCGGCCUCUGCAUUUCACUCCAAAAAAAUAAACUUAAUUCAAAAGAUCAACAAAAAAAAGGGAAAAAAAAGAACAAGAAGAAGGGGAAAAACAAAAAACUAACAUAAACUUCCAUCUUCUUGUGGAGUUGAUAGGCGAGAACUAAAUGAUGGGUCAUACAUAAGCGAUGCGGCUUCAUCGGAUGGUUCGGCCCAAAGUAUACGUUUCCCACAUCCCCUGUAUCAAAAAAUUAUACUGAAAAAUAUGAAAACUUUUUGCAUAAAAAUGGGUGCUCUAACUUUCUAAGCAUACUGAAGGCUAGGGUUUAUGGUGAAUCUUUUUCUUACCGUCAUAAAAGUAGGAGAUUCUGUCCUUGGAGCGCAUUUUGAUGGCGGAGACGGAGAGAGAGAAGGAGGGGAGAAACAGAGGAUUAUUCCUCAGCAGGUUUUCAUCAUCACGAGGCUAUCAGCCAUUGAAGAAGCUUCCUGGGACCGUCGAAUUAGUUAGUAGUAAAAGCAGCAGUAAUUUCUUUGAUAGCUCAGAUUUCUCACGCCUUUUUUCAAAUGGGUGAAAAAAGCGUGUCAGCCUCACAAACUGUUUGAGGGGAUGCCUCCACACCCUGAUCCCGCCUUAAAGACACUAACGAAGCGCUUCCGUUCAAGCUUUAUUUGAUUUGGCUAAAAAUGUUGGUAAAUUUAAGCUUGGGAUAUUACUCUCCUAUUUGUAAAUGACGGUACUUGCACUUUUUAUUCGCUUGAGAAAAGUUAAAUUUGCCCCCAGUUUUUGCUUUAAUGAAAGAAUAAAAACGUUGCCGGCUUUUGAAGAUUGCUCGGGAUCUAGGUUUAUUUGCCGAACUUCUUACUUUCGUAAGAAAAUGUCAAGAAAAAACAUACCACUGGGAUCGUCUAGCUUGGGUUUGUGGGGGUAGUUACUUCUUAGCAGCAACAGCCCGUGGAGGCUUGGCCCUUGUCGGGGCUUCAAUCCCACAUCGGUCUUGGGGGGAUGGGUUUGGGUAGAUAAGUCCCCUAGGCGUCUUCAAAAGUUGCCGGCUUUUGAAAAUUGCCCGGGAAUCUAAGUUUAUUUGUCGAACUUCUUACUUUCGUAAGAAAAUGUCAGGAGGAAAGAAUAAAAACGUUGCCACGGCUCACUUUCGACAAGAAGGAUGAUUGUUAAGUUUAAUCCCCGUUUGGAUUGACAUAUUUUUAAAAAAUUAACUUUUCAAAUACAAUAUUACAAAUAAAAACAUCUUCAAAAACAUUUCAUCCACAUAAUAUAUCCAAAACAACUCAUAAAUAUAUAAAAAAUUAAGAAAAAAUAAAUUCUACAUCAUCUUCUUCCACCCGUCAUCACCACCCCUCCCUCCUCCUCUCUUCUCCCUUCCCUCUCCUUCUCCCGAAUUCACAUGAUCAACGGGCCCAAGAAGCGCAAUUGACAAAUUAUAAAGUGCCAUUAACGUUUCAGCUUGUUAAGACAAAAACAAAAACAAAUUCAAACGAAGCUUAUUGUUCUGUUCAAUAUGAUCCCGCUUAUCUUACAAUUUUACACCCAUAGCAUUAGCAUUGACCUGCAGAUCUCCAAUAUUAACAAAGUCUGUCGUUACUCUUUGGUAGGAACACAACCCCCUUACUACUACAGGUAAGGACUAAAUUGAACGACAAGGUGAGAGGGAUUGAAAAUAAGAGAUCUGAACUCAAGACCUCCCAUAUACCCCAAAAAAAAAAAGAAAAAAAGAAGCAGCCCCUGUUACUGCACUACAUCUUUUUCAGAUUUUGCUACAAGUUUAUGAAAACUAAAAUGGCAAAUAUGUGGUAGCAUCCUAUUUCGGAAAAGUGAGAAUUGCUUGCAGUUUGCUCCUCUCCGCUAUACAAAAGCAUCUAUCAACCAACCACAUCAAGCUAAAAUUACCAGAAGAUAAAUGAGUAACCUCAUUGGAAACUAUCAUGCCCUUGCAUUACCAAGCCGGCACUCGCUUUACCUGACAAGGCAUAAUUUGCACUUGCAGUAUCUCCUGAGGCUGAGGAUUUUACUGAAGGGGUCACGCAAUACGAGUUUGGCAUUUCGCCAUGCACGAUACGAGUGAUAGGCCUCAUAAGAAAAAUGAGCCGUAUCAUUGCGAUGCUGUGAUAUAAUAGUGCCAUAACUGAAUGCCACAGCAAGCUUGAUUACUUAAAGUUAACCAUGUAUUCAAAGAAAACCACAGAAAAUUGCACUGAAUCUUUAAAAGAAGAAGAAAUACACUCAAACAAGUUUGCAACUCAACAAAUUAUUAGCAUUUGAAAGCUAAAUACUUCAAGAACGAGUAACAAGGUCCAACUCAAGUUUUAAUUUGAAGGACAGCCACUAUCAUAAGGGGCCCAUUAUCAGAAGAGGCAUGUUUAUUCCUUCUUUCCAAUCCCAUGAGACAUAUUGUAGAUACCUCUUGCCUGGACAACACAUGGAGGAGAAAGGAAUGCAAGGCCUGUUAGUACUCAUAAUCCAGAAAAUGGAAAAAAAUCUCGCGGUACAGAGUUAACUUACAAUCAUAAAUGAACAGGUCGCCGCCAAAGCGAGAGGAAUGGCAACAGAAGUGAUCUUAUCCAUAGGGUGUUUGAGAUAUGUGUGCUUGUGAAUACUUUGGAAAUACUUUUGCUUCUCAAUAAGCUUUUCUCUUGGCCUAAAAGGUGCUUCACUCAUCCUGCAUAAUUAAAUAAGGUAGACAAGUGAAAAACUGUGGAAAGGAAUGUUCAAUGACGUACUCAUGGAAAUAGAUCAAUAUUGGUAAUGCAAUGCUAUAACAUUUUGAUGAAACUUGUCAAAGUCAUCUGCAUAUUCAAGUUCUCCGACACAAAUAACAGGAGCAAAAUAAAGGCACAGCCCAAGUAACCACUAUGACAUACAUCAACAAGCCGCCAUCAGAAAAUCUUUUUGUAGCUUGGACCAUGAAAUCUUAAAACUGUUCAAAAUUUAAUGUGCCAGUGAAUCUGACACUCAAAGGUUUAGUUCGAUCAACCUACUUCCUUAACAAUUUGGAAAGUUACAAGGACCAUCAGUGACAAUUCAGGACAGAAAAUCUCCAACUGAGAGAUCAUCCAAAAUGAAUGGGAUCACAUAACUGUAAAAUUGCUUUCACCAGAUUUUUAUGCUUGACCAUAGCAGGUCUGACAUAAGGGUAUUAUAAACAUUGAAUCUUCCCAUCCAAUAUGUCAAUAUAAACCACCAGUACAUGUUUCCUGCCAAGUUAACAUUUAUCUCCCAAGUCAGAAAUGACUGGAAUAUGCCGCUUCAAACAACAGAUUACAUAUAGCCUGACAUGGCAACCACCCAAAUUAUGCCCAACUUGCUAACCUUAGCAACACCGCACUGUUUCAUUUAGAUGCCACAAAGUGUAUGCACCUAUGAUAUUCCUGGAACUGAAUUUAAAGACUAGUCGAAUCAUUCAUGGUGAAUACACCCCUGCUCCAUUAUUAACAAACAAAUGCUACCUACAUUAGUCAUGAUACAAAAUUCUUAAACGUUCUAAUUGUUAAAAAUGCCAAAUAUCUAGGCGACCAAUUUAUCUCCUCAAACAAAGGACAAAAGAAAAUAUUUCAAUGCUAAUCAACCCAAUGGACAGUAUACUCAAGAUAGCCAUUAAGGUGAAAGUUAUUUCCGGCUAAUAGUUUCAGCCUUGAUGUUGUUAGAAUUAUUUGCCUAAUAUAUAUUAUUUGAAUUUUUUUCAACUAAAUUUAGCUUUAAGGUAUUUGAGUCAAGAAGUUUUCUGAACUUCUAUGCUUAAAGGUAACAGCCUAACCUUCUGACAAUUGAGGUUGGGAUAACCGAGGAUCAACUUAAGUGUACACCUACCCGACCUAUAGUGCCACACAGACAAAAUCUUCUUCCAUAGAACUAUUGGUCAAAGUACCAUCCACUAUAAAUUCUAGUCGCACGCUCUCUGUCACUUGAUCAAAUUCUUGUACGAGAUAAGCACCUUCAAUAUUAACCUGCCUUGAAGAAUCACAGGCUACCAAAACAAGGACACUAACACAGAAUUACAAUGUCCUUGGAAUGCAACUUAUUUUAAAGAGUGGACAUCAGGUAGAAGAUAAAGAAGCUUGCAUCCUUACUAAACGCAGAUAUGAUUAUUCACUUUUAAAAUUUAAACUCCCUUGAUGGCACCCAACACAUUUUGAUUGAGCUUUAUCCACUACACUGGUAGGCAGUAUCUGCUUGGUCAAAGAGUUCUUAUCAAAAUUGAAGAUAAAGAAGAAAAUGGUUGCAUAUAUGACAGAGAUAAUCAAAAUUUUCAAGCAAAAUAGUUGAAUGAAGAGAAACCGUAGACUGAUGGCAGUAUUGCCGACGUUACAGUUAUCAUCAAUAGCACUUACCCAAAAAAAAAAAGCACUAAUUGAUGUCCACUAAAUGCAAUUUCACUAAAAUCAUCCCUCAAUAAGCUUAUUAGUAAUAUUUCUCACAGAAUUAGAUGAAAACAAAUAGAACCUUAUUACAACAGCUACAAAAAUUCUGCACCAAUAUCAGAGAAUGUAAAUUUAUAAUUCAAUAACAGGAAAUAAAAACUAUAAUAAUCGUAUUCACUAUAAAACCAGAUCCAUUUAACUAAAAGCAGAACAACCAAUUAGUCAGGGAGAAAAAUUUGUCAUCGGAAGAUGCAAUAACAGAUCAGCGAAAGGAGAAUUAAAAGACAAAUGAGAAGGUAAAUUAAUGAAAAUCCGAUGAGUUGAGGCAUUGAAAUAAGGGGUUUUUAAAAGGGCUUACUUGAGAGAAAGUGGGGAAAGUAGAAAACUCCGGUGAAGACGAGGGAGGGGAGGAGCAGCCGCCGGCCGGGAGGGAGGGUAGAGAAGUGAUUAGACAGCUGCGUUGUGGCGAAGACUAAAAUACUAAAAUGAGUGAAAGGGUGGAAGAUUGGCGAAGUUUGUUUCUGCCGGCCGGAUCUGACGGGUGUUGAACUGGAAAUGGGCCUGUCGUUCAAGAUCUGAGAAACCCAUGUUUAGUUUGUCCGUAGUUUGAGUGGCUUUGCUACUGGACCCAAUCAAGCUAAUGGGCCCAAACUUACUAAGAGAUUUAUUAUUUGUUUAGAAAUUAGAGGCUUAUUGAGUCAUCAAAUUAAUCAAAUAAGGCCUUGUUUUUUUUAUCGUUGACUUGUUCGAGCUAGGCACACAUAUUUUGAUAAGACAGAAGUCAGUAUUAUAAAUAAAUUAAUUGAAAAUCAUUCAACACGAUUUGUUUGAUAAAGAAAUAUAACACUGAUGCUAUGCAAAUUUGUUUGUAUUAUAUUUGGAUAUGUAUUCUAAUUUUUCUAAUAUAAUACUACCUUUCUUUUGUUGGUUCCAAUGCAACUUACCUUAUGUACUACUAGCCUUCUUUUUAGAUUUCCUUGAAAAAAUCCCUAUGUUUAUCUUGUUUGGGGAAAUGAGUACUAGUGGCACAUACAUUUAGGUUGGCCCAAGAAGAGAGUACCCUGCUGAAUUGGAGGAGUUUGUGGUUAAGUCCAACAAAAAAGAGAAGAUAAAAUUUCAUUCGAGGUUUUUGUUGUUUCUUCCCCUGUUAUCGAAUCUGUAUUGUGUAGUUUACCUCUUCCACUUGCUACUGUGGAAUACUUUAAAUAAUUAAUCAGAACUUAAGUGUGGAGAAGCUUUCCUGUUUGUACACUAGAGAAAAACAAUGCCGAAGACGUAGUGUUUUGUCUCCGGAGUCAUGACCUAAGAACUUUGAGUUAAUCAGUUUCAAGGUGCAAGCUAGCUCUGCACAUUCGACAGAUAUGGCUAUUUGCUUCCAACCCCCCUUUCUCUUCUUUCGGCCUCUCUCAGUCAGCUGCAUCCACUUCUCCUUGGCAGUCUUGCAUGUGUUAGGCCGAAGACGAAAAUUGUGAUUUUAUGUGCUUAGUUAGGAAAACUGACAAAACUGGACAUGGAAUAAAAGAAGCAUAUUGAUUUGGGAUAAUUUCAGAAACCUUCCCAUGAGGUUUCUGACAAUUUCACUGAGCUCCCGUGAGGUUCGAAAAAUUACACAUAUCUCCCUUGAUUUGAUAGUUUUAGUUGUAAAACCUUAAAAUAAUAUUGACUUGGUCAAAUUUUUAAAUGAAUACCCAAAAAUGUUUACACAUAUCUCCCUUGAUUUGAUAGUUUUAGUUGUAAAACCUUAAAAUAAUAUUGACUUGGUCAAAUUUUUAAAUGAAUACCCAAAAAUGCCCUUGUGUAAUGAGUUUCAAUUUAUUUCCCUAUAGAAUUAUAAGAUUAUCUAAUGUAAUUUUAAGGAAAAGAUGCUGAAUUUUUCAUGUUCAUACUUACUAUUUGAUAAACAACUAUAAUAAUAAUUUUAUCAUUAUGAUAGGAUUUUUUUUAUGGAUUUAGAUUUAUAAGAUAGAAAAUAAAAUAUUAAAAUAAUUGAUUCAGUGUUUAUGAAUUUUUUGAGUAGUGGGAUUAUCAUAAUUUAGUAGUGAUUUUGGGCAAUUUCUUUUUGAUUUAUUGUUAAUUUUAAUACCAAAAAAUAAAAAAAAACAAAGAUUAGCAAAAAAAUCAGAUUACGUAUAAAAUUAACUUAUCAAAAAAAUCAUUAAUUUGACAUUUGGUUACAAUAGAAAUUAGAAAUAAUAAUGGUAAUUUUACAAUUUUAUUGGCAAAAAAUUAAAAUAAAAAGGAAUAAGAAGGAAAAAGAAUGAAAAGAUAAUUUUAAAAACAUUCUAAGUAUAAGCAUACCAAACAAGGGAAUUCAUUAAAAUAUUUAAGGGUAGUAUUGUUAUUUUAAAUGACAAGGGCGGUAUGUGUAAUUUUUCAAACCUUAGGGAAGCUUAGUGAAAUUGUCAGAAACCUUAGGGGAGGUUUCUGAAAUUAUCCCUAUUGAUUUUGAUGAAACUUCAUAAAUAGAACAUGCCUAGACAGUGGGAUCAAUGGUUUCUGCUGGUAUAAACUACAAAGUAUAAAGAGCACAAGCAGUGGUGGAUAUCCUUAGCCAUCAAGGCGCUUGGCCGCUUCUUACCGAUGACCAUUUAAAGAAUUGUAUCGUAUAAUUUGAGCCCACGUAACGUUAGAGUAAAUACGUCCGGAAUCUGAGGCCAUCAAUCUUAAUCUAAGAAGAUGAUCAAUCUUAAUCCAAGAAAAUAGGACCAAAUGUUGUUGCAGUCCCAGCGUACUCUCUUGCUGAUACGUUACGCCAAGACUGCAGAUUACGAAUAGUCUACCAUAACAUUUAUUUUGUAUUUGGUCGGUCAUGAUCUUACUACCAAGAAAAAAAAUAAAGAUUUUUUUUUUUUUUGCAUUUUCUUUUCCAAAUGUUUAAAGCUUCAAUGGGGAUUACUCUUCCGAGGUUAGUGCUGAUAAUGAGGUAACAACAUGUUUAGCUUAAUUAAUCUUUGAUCAUCUCGAUUGUUAAUUAUCCUAUGAAUGGUUCAUGAUUCUUCAAAGGACUGCAGUUCCACCGCCAUGGCCAUUAUUAUGUACAUAGAAUAAUCUUUAAGGCUGUGCUACUUUGUCAAACAAAUGCAUAAAAAUCAACACCUUCUGUAUCGAUUGCCAACAUAGUUAAGCCUUCAAGUAUGACAUGUAGCUGGGAAAAACCAGCAGGUUUGGAAGAAGACUGCAGCAAUGACCUAUUUUUCAUGACUUCUGUCGAAAACUGAAGUUAGGGUUUUGGAGCUGAGACUUAGAGAGGUACUAAAAAGUCUACGAUCAAUAUAGUGCCAUCGUCUGUACUGGUGCUUUAAAAUUCAACAUGAAGCUGAGAGCCUGAAGGCUGAAAGUCAUAUGGAAACUCCUUGGAGGCUCUGCCGCUCAACAUGAGAAGAAAAAUGCCUGGAUAUUAAGAUUGCAGUCAAGAAUCACCUUGUUUACCACCAUAAAACUGAAGUUUCAAUGCAAUUAUGGUCCAUAGGCAAGGCAAGUGUAUGUGGUCAGGUGGACUCAUUAAAAUCAAAAGCCCCUCCAUGUUGAAUUUAUCAAAGUACCAUCUCUAGUGGGGACGGAUGAAUUUGGUGGUUUGGGCCGACCUUUGAAAUUGAUGGUUCAAUAAUUCGGUAACACAUUUUAGACAUGGGGAGAUAAUACUACUGUCCUGUGCUUAUCUGAAUUGUAGCUUCACAGGUUCUAUAAACUUGACCACAAACUAAUGUCCUUUAGCCAAUUUGCCUUGCUUUUUUCACAAAUGACUUCUACGAUAUUCCCAGUUCCUCCUCCGGUAAAAUCAAUAUAUUGCAUGCAUGCCUAUGAAAUCGAGCAAUUGUUUCUUUUCACUGCUUAAUCCUCCAGCAUCCUUCGUUAUCUUUUACCUCAAAAUACAGCCAAGAUUUCUACUCCUCUGAAUGUUUCAGAAGAAUAGUGGCAUAUGCGUGGGAUCCUUUGGCUUCAUGUUUUGUGCUUUGACUUCUUCUCUAUUAAUAACACACUUGGAAUUUGUGGAUGGUGGGCAAUUUCCUUUAGAACUUAUAAAUAUCACUUUUGAGACCAAUCACCUCUUAAUUGUUGAGAGAAAACGGUGCGGAAAUUACUGAUCAAGGAAAAAUAGUGUAAUAGAUAAUCUGCCAGGGGGACAAAGCCCAUAAUGAUGGGAACGUGGUUGGCUUAUUCAAAUAUCAUGCUUCAAAUUUCCCUUACUAUUUUACAUGUCCCUUUGCCGCAGAAUACUUUAUCCAAAGGAUCUAUCUUAGAAAUUUCUGCUAAAACUACUAAUUAGUCAUGUCAUGCUGCCCUUGCAUCGUGGGAAACCCUAGGAUCAUUGGCGUGAAAAGUAUGUACGAGUACUAUUUAGGGAGUCCACCAAAAAGCCCUUCUAGAUGAGACUUGGUCCUUAACUCCGGUGCUCCAUUGUACGGUUGUCUGCUGUUCAACGCUGAAGAAGGCUUUUCCAAGACAGACAUUUGGUAGUUGGACAGAAGCUGAAAAUAUACAGCCAUGCUAACCAGGCAGAAAACAGCUAAGUAACUGAGGCUAUCAAUUCUUUCAUACAAGGACACCUCUUGGGUGAAUUCUUAGUUUAUGAUGGAAAAAAAAAAGAAUUCCACAACGAGGGCGGUUCUUGGAGUGUGUUCUGCAAAUAGGGGUCUUCGCAUUCCGAAAAUGCGAGCUCAGUGAGCUCGCAUUCCGGAAAUGCGAGCUCGAAUUGGAGCGCUCACUGAGAGCUGGCGCCAAGACAAGGCUACGUUACAGUCUUCGUCGGCUUGGCGUGGCAUAGGUACAGGUGCUGGUGGAUGUAGUCGCAUUGUCUCUUUGACAAUGGCCUGUAGGUAGACUAAAUUCUUGAUAUCAGAUUCUUCUACCCAUCUCUCUUUACCAACAAAAGAGUCAAUCUCUUCCUGGACUUUUUGCAAAACGUGCCUAUGGUUCAGUAGCAGGGAGAUAACCCAGCUCAACGCCCUUGAUGUGGUACUAGUUCCUGCUACAAUAAGCACCUGCAAGCAAAAAAAUAAUAAUAAUAAUAAUGAAAAGUAACAAAUAGAACUAUGCAUGUGUACUUUUUCCCCCAUUUAAAUGUAUUAUAAUAAAAUAACGUAUUUCCAACCGUACAAUUACCAAUUUUUUUUAUUAUAAAAGAAUUAUGCAUGUAUAGUAAAUUAUAUUAAGUUUGAAUUUCAUUUUAAAUUUCGUAAAUUUCAUUUUAAAUUUUUUUCCUAACAAGUUUGAAUUUAAUUUUCUGAAAGUCAUACUUAUAAAUGCGAAAUCUAACAAAAAAGUUAAAUACAAUUUUUGGAGGACAAAUUUAUCAAAUGCGAGCUAUUUGCAAAAUUUUAAAUAUUUGCAAAAUUAAAAAAAAAACAUUUAGGAGCUCGCAUUUAGCUCUUACUAUUUUCUGGAAAAAAUUCUCUAGCUCGGACAUCCACUCAUGAUAGUCAGCUUCGUUUCUUUGCUUUGCCUGCCCGCUAUUUCUGAAAGAAAUAGAGUCAAGUGUAAUUUUUUUUUCUUUUUGGAAGAUUUGCAGUUCAAGAAAACUAACAUUGAAGUCUCUGAUGCCUCCAGUGCGGGGUGAAUUCUUAGUUUGUGAUGAAAAAAAAAAAGAAUUCUACAACGAGGGCGGAUUUUGAAGUUGUUUCUACAAAUGGGGUCUUCGCAUUUUGAGAAUGCGAGCUCAGCUCAUGAGCUCGCAUUCUCAAAAUGCGAGCUCAAUGCGAGCUCGCAUUUUCAGAAUGCGAGCUCACCGAGCUCGCACUAUCCUGCAUCCAGCGCCAAGACCCAUUUCGAAAAAAAAAAACAAAAGUGAGUGGGAGAAGCAGAACACAGAAAGAGCUGGUUGAAUAGCCGUCGAACAGCAAAACAAAGAAUUCGGAAUUGUUGAAUAGCAAAACAAAGAAAACAGAGCUGGUUUCUGCACAUUGAAGCAUCCAAAGAUCGGAGCAGACCGGAGCAUCCAAAGACUGGUUUCGCGUUUGCCGCUUCCCAAAAUUUGCCAGCAUUGCCGUCCCAUUGCUACUGUCAAACAGCAUAAAGGUUAGGCUUUUGCACCUGCAAUGCCUCACGUAUAGCAUUUUAAGUUUAAUGAAUACUUGAAUACUUUCAUCCAAGGGCAAGUUCAGAUUUGUUGUGAAAUUUGGGUGUAAAUGUGAUGUGGGUUGUGCUUAUUUUUGCAAUUUUUGUGGUGGAUUUGAGGAAAUACGUUAUAUUUUUUGAAUUCGGGCAAUUUUUGUGUUUCCAAUUUGUUGCAGUUUAUUUGCAGUUUCUGCAAUUAGUGCAGAAAAAGCAUGAUCCGUGACAGGUGCCGAACCUGUGCAAUAAUAAUUACUAAAAAGUCCUAAUUACCACCUCAAUUAAAUAAUUAUAGAACAAAACCAAGUACUGGAGCAGGGACCCUAGGUGUGCAAUGGGUUACUUGAUUCACCCUGUUCCCGAAGAGUUUGCUUGAUCCGAUAUACCGGGUUUAUCUAUAAAAAUACUAAUUUUGCGUACAAUGGCAAGUAGGGUCGAUUCCACAGGGAGCAGGUAGGAAAUUAUUUCUUUCCAAAUCAGUAGAACAAAAUUGGGGAAUUUUCAAUGGGAGAGAAAUAAAUAAAAUAAAAGUAAAAUAAAAAUAAAGCGAACUAAAUUCAAAACCAACUCACAAAGCACAAUUAACUAAAAAUAGCAAGUAAUAAAAGUCUACCCAAAGGAUCAACUGCUCGGGCACGGUCCAAUUAAAUGAUCAUCGAUGCAAAGAUAUUUCACCCAUUCAUCACUAGGUUGGUUAUAGUUAUCAAUAAGCUCUGACAACCAGUUCUUCCUUACCUUUUCGACAGUCAAGGUACGACCAUUGACUGCUUCCCUAAACAGAUAACAACCCUAGGUACGACCAUAGGAAUUUAAUUACCCAAUUGCAUUAAAGUUAGAAGAACCCAACCCUAACCAAUAAACACGCUAAGAGGGUUUAUUUAAGCUAGAUCCUGCGUUUUCCCAUCAUAAAACCAAUUAUGGUGGUUGCCACGGGGUGUUAACUAAAUGAACAAUUACGGAUUCUAUUUAAUUAACGUGGCAGUAGGCUAUUAACCGGAGCUCAUCUUUAACCUCGCAUUUCAUGAAUGCGAGCUCACUGACUCGCAUUUCGCAAAUGCGAAGACCCUCGGACGGAAUGCUAUGCCAAAAUCACCCCUUUUGUAGAAUUUUUUUAAAAUUCAUCACAAAAUUAGAAAUUUCUCUCCAGUGCGGGCCCCCUAACGCUUUUGGUGCUAACAGGGGCCUAGCCAUCUUCUGAGCUAGCCUUUCCAGUUCAUGACGAUUGGUGCUAAUCAGGGAAGUGGAAUUCAUUCUCUGACCCAGGAGCUCCUUUCUUUUUUUAGGAAUAUAGAGGCUGCUAGAGAGCUCUGGGGGAGCUAGUAAAAAAAAUUAAAUUAGAGCUCGCAUUUGCGGAAUACGAGCUCAAUAAGUAGAGCUCGCAUUUCGCGAAUGCGAGCUCUAUUCUAACCUCGCAUUCGUGAAAUGCGAGCUCUACUGAGCUCGCAUUCCACGAAUGCGAAGACCCCCGGACGGAAUCCAUUACUAAAAUCACCCCUUUUGUAGAAUUUUUUUAAAAUUCAUCACAAAAUUAGAAAUUUCUCGACACCUCUUUAGACUUUAUAGUUUAUUCCCAUUACAUGUUUUCACAUGUAAUGGAUUUGGUUCUCGGGUGGUGACACUAAGAUAUAGUAGUAUUCAGAGGAUGUAGAUGCUAAUAUAACAGACGUAGGCACUAACACAAUAAAAUGAAAAAAUACCAUAGAACCUUGGUCCCGAACAUUGAAGGGACUAAAGUGAUGGGAUAACUAUUUGUUUAUCCAAUGUGGGCUGAUAUUGCUACUAAUGCAACCGCUGUUGUCUGUAAAUGUCAAGAGAUGUAUGAGAUAUCUAACUAGAAUUAGGUUCAUCCUGUAAAGAUUAUGUGGUGAAAUUUUUGCCUUUCAAUAUACUCCAAACUUGAAUAUGGGAGAUACGCAUGUCUUGAACUAACUAACGAAAUUCUGAGAAGUACAUCAAACAAAGGUUAAAAAUUUCUUGCUUAAAAAAGAAUAAUGAAUUGAGGAGUAGUAUGAAAUUCUUAAUUGACACAUUGUAGUUUGCAUGCAUGGCAUAGGUGGCUCCUCACUCUAUUGGGAGUGGUAUUUAUAUAUGGUUUUGAACACACUUUCCUUGACUCAUUCUUUAACCGGAUGCAGCAACACCAACUAAUCAAGCUUAAAGGAGUACGUAAGAAGGGAACCCUAUAUAUGGCCAUUGGUCAAAUUGCAUUACAAUUCCUCAACAUACUUCCACUGUCACAUCCUUCCACAAAUUCCACUAUCAUGUAGUAAUAAUAAUAUUCUAUAAAUGAUGCCAUUGUGAGUUAGUUACACUCUCAUGUAAACUACUCCUAUUGAGUGAAUGGCCACAUAGUUCGCAUAAUUGACUGUUUCAUUUAGUCUAUUUGGAUAGUGAUUAUUUGUUAAAUUUUGUUUAUUUGUAUUAUCGACAUAUUUUUCCAUCAUAUUUUUAUUUCACAUAAAUCAGAUUAAAAAAAGUGCUAUAAUUUUUUUUUUCAAAAAAUUAUUCUAAAUAAUCUACUAUCCAAACUUAGCAUAUUAAUAAUAUGAUGAGAAAUGUCUUAGAGGAUGAAAUUUUACUGUACUUUUAAGUUAAUUGUUCCACCAAAAAGAUAUCAGCUGAAUGUCUUAGUGAUUGUUCCGAUAUAUAAUACUAAUGAAAAGUGCGUCCUUUCUUUUUAGAUUAAAUACCACAUUUUCUCGACAUUUUACGAGGCAAUAAAUAAUAUAACAUGUACUCCUCACUUAAGAGGAGGGCAGUAUCGGAGAAGAGAACAUAAGAGGAAAUUAUUACUCCUAUAAUUAGGCAUUUUAAUAUGUAUCUUGGUCUGGUUGUCAAAGCCUGCAAUCUAUAUAUUAUCUACAAAGAAAUCUUUUCUUUUUUCAAUUCCCUGCACAGAACUUGAGAUACGUGGAAUUUCUUGCUUUUGACUUGUUUAAACAAAGCAGUGGUCAUUAGAUUUAUUUCGGCACACAUUUGCUUACAACUGACCAGGAAUGUCGCAAACAUUAAUUUAUGUUUACGAUAGUUUGCAAUGCAAAACUGACGUACCAUAUGGUCCUCUGUUUGCACUUUUGGAAUAUCUUAUUUGAUCGACUGAUGUUCAAUCCUCAACCAAUUAGUGUAUUCCCUCCUUUAUUUAAUAUAUAGGAUAAAUUAUACUUUAUUCCCCUAUAGUUUAGCACUUUUUUACGUAACUCACUAUAGUUUUAAAAGUUAUAUAUAUAGCAUUCUCAUGGUUUGAACUGAAGUGUUAAAGUGACAGAAUUUGCAUUUCAUAAUGGAAUCAACUAAAAUGUCAAAAAUACCUUUAUGUAAAGUUAGAAAUCAUUUAUUAACCAUAGAGGGGUUAUGCAUAUAUUUUAAAAACUAUAAGGGGUUAUGUGGUAAAACACUAAAUCGUAAGGAGUUUCGUGGUAAAACAUAAAACUAUAAGGAGUUAAAGUGUUAUGCAUAUUAUGCAUAUAUAUUUUGGUUACUUUAACCAUUUUAAUUCUUGAAUAAGAGUAAUCUCGACAUUUUCGUGGGUUCCAUUACAAAGGAUCAUUUUCAUCAAUUUGACACUUUAAUCCAAAUUAUGAAAAAUUAUAUAUAACUUUUAAAAUCACAGGACGGUCAUGUGAAAAAUUGCUAAACUACAGAGAGUAAAGUGUAUUUUUUCCUAAUACACACACAUACAUACAUGACCUGUAAGUGAGAAAUUUUGGAUUUGAACCUUUAAAAAAAAUAUAUGAAACGGUAAAAUUAAUCUACACCUUUUCUGAUAUGAAAAAUAGGAAAUUCAUGUUCACUAAGGCAUAGUUAUAGACUGUAACUCAACGCUUAAUCUCUACUAUAGCUAAAUUAAACUUUCAAUAUUUAUAAGGCAUAUAGUACUUAGAGAACAAUUCAAGAUCAGCCGAUCAAAAUUCAAAAGUCUACAAGAAGACCAAGUAAAAGUGUUUAUUGACUUAAUUAUCAGGCCAAGAAUGAAUCUCAUAAUAUUUAUUAGGAAUCCUUUGUGCAGGGGAUUACGCAUAUAUAAUAUGACGUUGACUUCAAUCUGAUCACAGUAGAAUUGGGCAGAUGUAGAAUUGGUCAGUUCCUUCUCCACAACGAUUAAUCUAAUCACGGGAGCAUAAUCCUGAGCUCUGUUAAUCAAACAUUUUCAAUUAUGGAAUAACAUCUGACGAAUGAAAUGCGACCUUUUAACACACGGUCGGGGAUGAAUGUCCAUACGCAGAUAGCUAAAGUAUGAGUUUGUUAUAUCUCCAAAACCAUUGGUGGAUCCCUAGCUGCAAACAUUAGAGUAAUUGAAUUUGACCUUAAUUAGGUAGGAAUCCCAUGGGACUAGGAGUCAUCAAUUUUCUGAAUUUUGGCAGCUAACUUUUAUGUUGCACUGUAUCCCACUUUUACAGAUAGUUGGGAUGCCCGUCUGGAUUGUUAUCGUUAUUAAAGGGAGUUUUUUCUGUAGAAAAAUGUACCGUAAAAAUUUGAUGCAUAUGAGAUAAAAAAUGAUUUAAAAAAAAAUAGCAAUCCAAAGUAGGAUAACCCUCUAUCUUUGUCCUAACUGUCUUUUCCUAACUAUCGUUACAUCCCAUGAUCUUCUUCCUUUUUAUUUUUUCUAUUUUUUUUUUACAGGUUACAAUCCAUAAUCUCUCCAAAUCAGAAAAGAAAGAGAGCCAGAAAAAGAUAAAGAAAAACAAAAAGAGACAGCAAUUGUAUUUCGUAGAAGUGAAGAUAUGUGGUAAGUAUCCUUGUGUUAUCAUUAUUAUUAUCAUUUUGUUUUGGAAAACCAAAUUUGACGCUGUCCCGGAACGAUCUUGUGGAGGUCAAUCAACACACACUAGAGUAUUAAUCAAUGGCACUAUCUACCUCAAAUACAUAUUUAAAGCAGCACGCCAGUUGGAGUGACCGCUGUAUUUUAUCUAGUACUACUAAAGAAUUGAAGAAGAAACGAGACCCUCUAUUUCCUGGGCACAUCAAUUGGAUGCGUUAAUAGUACAGAGUAUUAAAUUCUCAGCAACUAAUUGCCCCAUAGUGAAACUUGAGGUCACAAGUUCGAGUCUCCGCGCUGCUGGAUUCCUUCGCGCACUUAACGUGUUCGGGCCGAGUUGGGGCGCCGGGCCCGGGCUGCAGGGAAUUAGUCGGGCCCCGUAAGGAUUGACCCGGACACCCUGUGUCGAAAAAAAAAAAAAAAAAAAAAAAAUUGCCCCCAACAAUUCUCCUUUUUUUUUUUCAUUUUUUGCCACCAAAGCAGAAAAAUAAAAAUAAAAAAAUUGGUUCACCAGCUUUUAUUUUAUAGUAAUUUUUACUAUACCAAUGGUGUAUACUCUUGCAGCACUGAAAACAUACUGUAUUUGUAAAAUUUAAAAUUCAAAUUCAAGUUUGCAUAACUUAUCAUGCAUGCAAACUUAUUAUUCGAUUAGUGUAUUAUAUAUUGACUUGUUAUCGAAAAGAUUAAUCUUUUCAUUUUACACAUUAUACAUAGUAAAGUUGUGUACAUAGUACUACAGUUGGUGCUGUUUGCUGAACAACUGGGUGAUGCUUCAGUUGCAUCAACACGCAAUAUGUUAAAGGUCUCCAAUGUUGUCAAAUUCAGAUCAGAGCGGGAUCCACUUGAACACAACUUGAAGUCUAAACCCCAAAGUCAGCAAAGUUGUCAAAAAUAAAAAAAAACCACGUCUUAGAUUUUGUUUGUCUUUUGCUUUCAUACUAUAGAUUAGCUUACUUUUUAUUUAUUUGGUCGGUUUCGAAGCUCAUGCCUUGCAAAAGCCGACACAGUGUUAAACAUGGUGUCUGCAACGAGGGUGCGAAUUUCACCUGUAAUAAAAAUUUUUUUAAAAAAGUGUCAAAAUAGUCUUUUGAUUUGAUCGAAUUUGUGUAUCUAUUAAUGUCUGAUAUCUUCUUUAAUCUAGUUGGAUCUAUAUACUUGCUAAUCCCUAAUAUAAUCUCUUUAAUCUUCUCUUUCUGUAAAAUAUGAUAUAUUAGCUUAUAAAAAUAUUAUUAUUGCGGCAAAAAAAUUCUUUUAUUCAACUUAAUAAAAUUUAAGCUUGGCAUCCUUUUCCCGUGCACGAGAUUUUGCCCAAAAAAAAAAAAAAGGUGUCUGCAAUGCAACCCUGAAGGUCAAGAAUUAUAGCAAGUGAUGAUUUGUUUAGUUAAUGGGGAGUGAUGAUUUCUUGGUAAUUUGAUAGUACCUUAACGGUUUCAAUUUGGACCAAAAAUUUUCAACCUUUUCAUACCGAUGAAUCUAACAUGUCGGCAGCUUUCAGUUCACGAUUUUCUCGUCCGAAUUUUGUUCUUCUAGAAGGCGAUUAAUGAGAACCACCAGGUACUAAAGGGGAGACAUUAAUGUGUGUUUGAAUUUGCUACCAAUUCAUAAAACAAUUGGUAAAGGGGAGUAGUACCAUUAUGCAUGUAAUCUUGCUUUGCUUCUCCAUAAACAUAUUCUAAAGUCUAAUAAUACGCAGAAAAUGGCCUUCUUCAGAGAUGUCCAUUUUUACUGGAUAGUAAUUAAAGAAACGAUAAAAUUUUUCUACAAUGACAAAAUAUACACAUUAUAUUAAUGUGAGUGAUGCUUUAAGGAAAAGCUUGUGAGAUUACUGUGCCACUAAUCCCACUUUUGUUAUAAGAUGGAUUAUCCAAGCUACAAAUGUAAUUUCAUUUUAUCUGUUCUGCUGUAAAGUUAAUGCAAAAUACCGUCCUACCACAUGAAAUUUGUUUUUCCAGUAAUUUUUUUUUUGGUCAUUCAUUCAAGAAAUUCUUGUCAUUUCAAGGUUGCAAGAUUGUGUUAGAGCUUAAUGUUCAAUUACAUAAUUUAAUGGUAGUGUAGGAUCACUAGACACAAACAGUUUGAGGAGGUAAAUAGUGUAAAAUAAUAUAAUUUGAUGGGCUUAAAGUGCAAUGCUGCAAGGUCGAAUGAAAGACUAAUUGGUUUUGACUUGUUACAUGAUCACUUGGUCUUGUCAAAACAAGAAAAUAAAGACAAUAAAUUGCAACCUACUUGGUAAGAAAAUUAAGACAUUUUAAUUGUAACUAAUAGAUUUGAAUUAUUAAUGGGAUAAGUGGAGAAUCACCGUUAAUCUUCUUUAAAAAAAAAGGUAAAAAGUUGGGGAGAUUACAUCUUAAUUAGGGAAGAGCUUAAUGAGCCUGAUGAUGCACUGGAAAUUUUAAAUUUAGGCAUAGUAAUAUGUAUGGAUGUAUGUAUGUGUGCAUGUGUAAGUACGUAUCUAUGAAAGCAUGCAUGCGUGUGCCCAUAUAUUUUGAUAAAGAGACAAUUACAUAUUCACUCAAAACUGCUAUAUUAAUGACAACAAGUAUAUCAAAGAAUACAAUAAAUAGAAAUAAAUUUCUUCAAAUUUGAAGGAAUAAUAAAAGAUACUGAUAUAAAACUCUAAAUUUUCUUACAAACAAAUACUAACCAUUACUGCUUUUCUAGUUGUUGGACAAUUUGAUUCGAAUAAUGUUUGAAUGUAUUCAUUGAUAAGUUGUACACUAUGACAAAUUAAUGAGUUAAAUACAGAUUUAGUUUUGAAAUGGUGUCAAAUUAAAAAUCUCAAAUCAAACUAAUGUAAUGUGACAAAAUCAAUUGUCGUCCAAAUUUAACUGACGCAGUAAUAACUUUUAUUUCAUCUCUUUUUUUGUUUGAAAAAAAAAAUUUAACUAUACAAGGGAGAAAGAGGAUAUUCACGUUCAAAGAGCUAAAAAGUCAAUUGUCAUCCAAAUUUCUAUCCUAUGUUUUUUUUAAAAAAAAAACCCUAGAAUUCAAAAUUAGGUAAAAUUUGUCCAUUAAAUUUUUAUGUACCAUUAAUGUUUGUGUGUACACAUUAGCAAAUGUAAAUGUAUACAACACAUGCAUAAAGUAAAUUUUAAAUUUGAAAUUAGAUUAUGUAGCUUUUAUACUUGCUAGUGUAAUUUUAAUUAAUAUUCCUAUACGAGUAGUGCAUUAAACAUUAAUUCAGAAAUUAUUCCCAAAAAAUACAAAAGAUUAAACCAUUAUUUGCAGAUAUUUUUCUCUUCUCUUGAAGAUUAAUUAGCUAACACAGACACACGCACAGAGAGGGAGAGAGAGAGCGAAAAGAGAGAGAAUAUUCACAUUUAAAGACACUAAAGCAAAUUAUUGUCCAAACAAUAAUCCUAACAACAGAAGAUCCCCAUUAAGAAUUAAUACUCAUAGCCAUUAUAUUACCCUAGAAACAAAAUUAAAAAAAAAAUCCCGCAGGAAUUUAACAAUACAGAAACGGCCCACCUCGCACGCGCUUUCAUGAUAUAAACAACUUAAAGCCGCAGAGAAGCUUCCCAAACUUGGUCAAAAGAUUACAACAAAAAACCACUUUUGCCCAAUUAAACAAAUUUCUGCAAUUAUCAAGUCAAGAAACCUCACCCAAAAUGUUCCCCUACUCCUCACCACAGUCCAUUCCCCUACAUCUCACAUCAUGACCGUUCAUUCUCAUCUGGCGGUCACUAUGAAUCCACACCACCAAUUGCUGCCCUUUUUUGAAGUUUCAACGUUCCUUCAUUUUCAACCGCGGGAACCUAACUGCUGGAACUGGAUGUGCCCUCUAUUUGACCAGGCCUUGAGUAAUGAAUACAGUACUCGAAUUCAAACGCUUUGCGAUUUCUUUCUUUCUUUUUUUUUUUUUUUUUUAUAAUUCGCCCAGAACAAAGAAGAGUUCUUGCUUUAUUGCUUACCUUAACGGUUAGCACUUAGCACCCCACAUUGACUAUCUAAGUGUGUAUAUAUAUAGCUUUCUAAACGAACAGUCUGUUAAACACAACAUCUCAGUUUCUCCUUUGGCCAAAAGGGCUGCUAGAGAAACUGACUGAACACGAAGAAGUUGGGAAUCAAGAUUCAAUUCGUUCAUUCUUUGUGCACUGUUGGUAGUCUUGUAGCGUGCAGUUUUCUGUCCCUGGAGUUUUAUUUCUGACUUUUGUUGUAUAGUUUGAGGUGAAGAAAAGAAAAGAAUAGAAGGGGUCUCGGAAAGGAAGUGAUCAGCGAGAGUUGGAAACAAUGGCUGCUUUUGCAGGGGAUGAUUUGUCGAGGGCGACGAGUAGUAGGAGGAGUUGGGGGUCAGGGAGUGUGAGGGGGAGUGUGAGGGAGAUUUGGCAAGGUCCACCUGAUAUUUUUGUUAGGAAUAGUACUAGGAGAGAAAUGGUGGAUGAUGAAGAGGAGCUCAAGUGGGCUGCUAUUGAGAGGCUGCCUACUUAUGAUAGGAUGAGAAAAGGGAUGCUUAAGCAAGUGGUGAGUAAUGGAAGAGUGAUCUCAAAUGAGGUUGAUGUUACUAAUCUUGGUGCUCAGGAUAAGAAGCAGUUAUUGGAUAGUAUUCUUAAAGUUGUUGAAGAUGACAAUGAGAGGUUCCUUACAAGACUCCGAGAUCGAACUGACAGGUGAAUGUUCUCUCAGCUAUCUUGCUAUUGUCAUCUCUUUGAUUACUGUAAAAAAAAUGAUGUUAAAAGUAGCUUUGGGCUUCACAAUUUUGGAACUUAAUAGGUUUCCUGUUUUGAUGCUUUUAUAUGAUGAUCAGAACAAUCUUGUGAAGGUUUUUGACAGCUUUUGUUGGGAUUUGGAGAUAACUAAUGUUUUGACUUGUUUGGUCGAGUGCAGGGUGGGUAUUGAGAUUCCAAAGAUUGAAGUGAGAUUCCAGAAUUUAUCUAUAGAGGGAGAUGCAUAUGUUGGCACCAGAGCACUUCCAACUCUGUGGAACUCCACCCUCAACACGCUUGAGGUGAUUAGCUGUUCUGUUCCUCCCCUGCGUCUUGACACAGUUCAUGGAACUAAUAUUUAGUUGAAUGGGAUUUCCCACAACUUAAGUUUCUUAAUUCUCCGGUGUUAGUUUUAUUGGUAAAUAACGGUGAAUGCUUAAUUAGAUGCACUACGUCGAAGAACUGCAAUUUUCGUUAAUAAUCUUAUCAAGGGGAACAUAGGAAAAUGGUUGAAAUAGGGAAGAUAGAGCUUUUUAUACAGUUUCUGAAGUAGAAAGAUUGAGGGGUUUUACAUUUAAGCGUCCUGUUAUGGUUCUUUUCCAGAAUUUAUUUUUUUGUCCGAUAAUUGCUGUAUCCUAGUUCUGAAGUAUUAUUCCAUUCAUUUUUAUGUUUGAUUAGGCUGCUAUUGGAUUGAUUGGACUUGCUCAAUCAAAGAAAAGAGUUGUUAGAAUUCUUGAAGGUGUGAGUGGAAUUGUUAGACCAACAAGGUAUGCUUCUCAGAAUUUCUAAUUAGAACUCUUUUUUUUUUUUUUUUAAAUUAGUUUAUCUAACUCUUGGAUAUUGUCUUUUAAUCUAAAUUUUAAGAUUAGCUCUUCCAUCAUGUUCUUACACUUCUGCUUGAAAUUUACUGCUUUUUCAGGAUGACACUACUGCUUGGGCCUCCCGGUUCAGGAAAAACUACCUUACUGAAAGCUUUGGCAGGCAAAGCUGAUGAUGAUCUGAGAGUAUGUCCCCUCCCCCCACCCCUUUCCUUUUAGACGUUUUCGUUAUUUGUCAUUCUUGAUGAGUUGCUGAUUGUAAGUGAAUGAACAGGUCACUGGAAAAAUCACCUACUGUGGUCAUGAAUUCCAUGAAUUUGUUCCUCAGAGAACAAGUGCUUAUAUCAGCCAGCAUGAUCUUCAUUAUGGUGAAAUGACAGUACGUGAGACAAUGGAUUUUGCUGGUAGAUGCUUGGGAGUAGGAACCAGAUAUGAUAUGCUGGUGGAGUUGUCAAGAAGGGAGAGAGAAGCAGGUAUUAAACCAGAUCCUGAGAUUGAUGCGUUCAUGAAAGCCACAGCCAUGGCGGGACAGGAAACCAGCUUGAUUACUGAUUAUGUGCUGAAGGUCCGUUCCUCAGAACCCUUUUUUUCUUUGGGGAUUAUGAUGUCAUUCAGACAAGACUAAUGUGCUCAUAAUGUUCCAACAGAUUCUUGGAUUGGACAUUUGUGCUGAUAUUAUGGUGGGAGAUGACAUGAGAAGAGGCAUUUCUGGUGGUCAGAAGAAGCGUGUUACCACUGGUAUGCACGCAUCGAUUACCGAAAGCUCUAGGCAGUAUAAAACGAUUCAAGUAUCACAUAUUUGAAUAAAAUUCUAAUGUGCAGCUCCCGAUUCAUUAUGCUUUUCAACUAGAAGAAAGAUACACUACUAUGUUUUGAAUUGACAUUUUGCAGCGUAAACAGGCUUUAUCAUCUUUUGAGUUUUAAGUGAUCUUUCUUCACGCAUCAAAUCGUCUGGACUAACGUUGUGAUUGUGUCAAAUGCAGCUGAAAUGUUGGUAGGACCAGCAAAAGCAUUUUUCAUGGAUGAAAUAUCAACAGGACUGGACAGUUCCACCACUUUUCAAAUAGUGAAGUUCAUGAGACAGAUGGUUCAUAUUAAUGAUAUAACCAUGGUCAUCUCUCUCUUACAGCCAGCGCCCGAGACAUUCAAUCUUUUUGAUGAUGUCAUCCUACUUUCUGAUGGGCGGAUUGUCUAUCAGGGUCCACGUGAUAAUAUUCUUGAGUUCUUCGAGUACAUGGGAUUUAAAUGUCCUGAAAGGAAAGGAAUUGCAGACUUUCUGCAGGAGGUUACCUCAAAGAAGGACCAACAGCAGUAUUGGUACAGAAAAAACCAGCCUUUUAGAUAUGUCUCUUCAGAGGAUUUCGCAAAUGCGUUCAAUUCCUUCCAUGUAGGACAACGACUUACAGCAGACCUUAGAGUUCCUUAUGAUAAGGCCAGAACCCACCCUGCAGCAUUGGUUAAAGAGAAGUAUGGAAUUUCGAAUUGGGAUCUCUUCAAGGCAUGCUUUGAUCGUGAAUGGCUGCUCAUGAAGCGGAGUGCUUUUGUUUUCAUAUUUAAAACAACACAAAUCACUAUCAUGGCCUUAAUUGCCCUGACGGUGUUUUUAAGAACAGAAAUGAAAACUGGUCACGUGAAUGAUGCUGCUAAGUUUUGGGGAGCAUUGUUUUUCAGUCUUAUCAAUGUGAUGUUCAAUGGAAUGGCUGAGCUGGCCAUGACAGUUUUCAGGCUUCCUGUUUUUUUCAAGCAGAGGGACUGUUUGUUCUACCCAGCUUGGGCAUUUGCUCUGCCAAUUUGGGUCCUCCGUAUUCCCAUUUCAGUCAUGGAGUCCGUAAUAUGGAUCAUUUUCACGUAUUACACCAUUGGUUUUGCGCCUUCUGCAGCCAGGUAAGUUCAAGUUCAUGCAAUUUCGUUGAAGCUUUUAGUCAAUUCUUGGCAGGCAUCUAAUAAUGCUUUUCUUUAUUUUUAUCUUCAAUGUAUCAGGUUCUUCAAACAGCUCUUGGCAUUCAUUGGCAUCCAUCAGAUGGCUCUCUCUUUGUUUCGUUUCAUUGCUGCAGCUGGAAGAGCACAAGUUGUAGCAAACACGCUUGGAACCUUCACCUUGUUGUUGGUCUUUAUUCUAGGAGGCUUCAUUGUUGCAAAAGGUGAAAGCAUGAUUUAUAUAUACCACAAUUUCUCGCAAUGACAUUUUGUAGUCUAGAUAUACUUAUUGUCGGUUGCGGAAAAUCAGUUGCUCCAUGCUUGGAUCUGUCUUGGCUGCUUUAUUUGUAGCAAUAUAAUUGAAUUGCUAACCAAUUUUAUGGAAAUGUAAUUCAUAGAUGACAUCAAGAAUUGGAUGAUAUGGGGUUACUAUGUUUCUCCUAUGAUGUAUGGACAAAAUGCCAUUGCCAUCAACGAGUUUCUUUCUGAAAGAUGGAGCAACGUAAGACCUCCUGAUAAUUGCCUCUAAAUGUGUACAUUCUUUCCAAGAUCUGUAAAGCUAGAGGAUACUCUAUAUUGAUUUUGAUCGUGGUUCUUAAUUUUCAUUCUACAGCCCUCCAAUGGCUCUGAACCUACAGUUGGAAAGACACUUCUAAAGGACAGAGGUCUAUUUACCACUGAAACUUGGUACUGGAUUGGUGUAGGAGCUCUUUUCGCUUUCUCCUUGUUGUUCAAUGUUCUUUUUAUUGGAGCAUUGACAUUUUUAAAUCGUGAGUACAAUAGUCCACCUUGUUAUCUUACAUUUGUCAUCUAUCAUUCUAUACUAUAUGAUACAAGAAGUUCAUGUUUUAAUACGUGAUACGACUUAAUUAUCAGCAAUUGGAGAUACUAAAGCUGUUCUUGUUGAGGACGAUGAUGAGAAAAAGACUAGAAAUGAAGCAUCCAAUUCUGCAGGUUUGUGGUCUAUUAAACUGCUCCUUUUUGUAUAUGUAAGUAAAUUUUGUAAAAAUCAUUGGAUUAGCUUGUCUCCCUCUUUAAAAUAAGCUUGAACAACUGUAAAACAUCAAAUGUUAAAAGUUCUCCAAUUCAAUACUCAUUUCCACAGAACUUAAUCGGAGGAUUUGGCACCAAAAUGUAUGGAAAAAAGGUGUUCACAUCAGUUACCAUAUUUUACAGUUUAAGAAGCAAAAGAAUUUUUGAUACUUUCUUUCGUUCGUAGCAUUGUCAUGGAUGUUAGUAAAGGGAAUAGGCUAAGAAUUUAACACUCCAAGCUUAAAGCACCACUGAAUAAAUUCCUCUUUUCAAGGCUUUCAGUUAUUAAAAAUAAUUCAGGGCCAAAUAAAUGUGUUUCUCAUACGCUGUCAUUGCUACAGGAAUUCAAAUGGGUGUAAGAAAUUCUCAGGCAAAUGGCAACUCAAUGGUUAGUGCAACAAACAAUCAAGCAACUAGAGGAAUGGUUUUGCCCUUCCAACCGCUCUCACUUGCAUUCAAUCAUGUGAAGUACUACGUGGACAUGCCUGCAGUAAGUCUCGUCCAUCCCUGUCCUUAAUUUUGUGAAAUUGCCCACAUCUCAUUUCUGUGGUCAGACUCUCUGAAAUUUUGCAUAGGAAACAAACAUAAUAUUGUUACUAUUUUUCUAACUUGGAAAUUUGAUUCAUAUCAGGAAAUGAAGUCACAAGGGAUUGAAGAAGAUAGAUUGCAACUUCUGAGAGAUGUUAGUGGUGCUUUCAGGCCUGGCGUUUUAACAGCACUGGUGGGUGUCAGUGGUGCUGGAAAGACCACAUUGAUGGAUGUCUUAGCAGGUAGAAAGACAGGUGGCUACAUUGAAGGAAGCAUAAGCAUUUCAGGCUACCCAAAGAACCAAGAAACUUUUGCCCGAGUUAGUGGUUACUGUGAGCAGAAUGAUAUACACUCUCCUUAUGUAACUGUUUAUGAAUCGCUCCUCUAUUCUGCCUGGCUGCGGCUUGCUUCUGAUGUAAAGACAGAAACUCGAAAGGUAAGCAUAGUAAUUACUAGAAUUAUUACCUUUGACUCAUUGAUACACUGGUGCAUUAAUGUGCAUGCCUUUAAAUCAACAACGCUUUCUAUGUAACUUGCUGAAGUUUCAUUUUCUUUCUUACUACAGAUGUUUGUUCAAGAAGUCAUGGACUUGGUUGAGCUCAAUGCUCUGAGGGACGCUCUUGUUGGACUUCCAGGAGUGGACGGCCUUUCAACCGAGCAGAGAAAGAGACUUACAAUUGCUGUUGAAUUAGUUGCUAAUCCUUCCAUCAUCUUUAUGGAUGAGCCCACUUCAGGACUUGAUGCUAGAGCUGCUGCAAUUGUCAUGCGUACUGUCAGAAAUACAGUGGAUACUGGUAGAACUGUGGUCUGCACAAUUCACCAACCAAGCAUUGAUAUAUUUGAAGCUUUUGACGAGGUACACUUAAUUGUCAUUUUUCUUACACUAGAUAUUUUUGGGCACUCAGCAUUCUUUAACACCAUUCUUAUACCUGCAGCUGCUCUUGAUGAAGAGAGGAGGACAAGUGAUAUAUGCUGGACCUCUUGGUCGCCAUUCUCACAAACUCGUUGAAUAUUUUGAGGUGAGGUUCUGCUCCUAUUGCAUUAUUGCUUGGUUGCAAACACACUGUCUGUGCACUAGAAUUGAAAUCCUACCCAACUUGCAGGCUGUACCUGGUGUUCCCAAGAUAAAAGAGGGUCACAAUCCAGCUACCUGGAUGUUGGAUGUCAGCACCUCAGCAAUGGAGGCUCAACUUGGAGUCGAUUUUGCAGAAAUAUAUGCCAACUCUGAUCUCUACAGGUUAAAGAAGGGUUAACUUAUACAGCGUAGAAAGUUUUCAAGAAUCAAAUGUCUCUAUAUGUGCUGCAAGAUCAUUGACCUGUUACUUCGUUUACGUUUCCAGGAGGAAUCAGGAGCUAAUAAAGGAACUGAGCGCUCCUGAACCGGGUUCCAGGGAUCUAUACUUCCCCACCCAAUACUCUCAGUCCUUUUUAGUUCAGUGCAAGGCUUGUUUUUGGAAACAACACUGGUCAUAUUGGAGGAACUCACAAUAUAAUGCAAUUAGAUUCUUCAUGACUGUUGUCAUUGGAAUUAUGUUUGGCGUUAUCUUUUGGGACAAAGGAACUAAAAUGUAAGUCCAAAUUUUCCUUAUCUCGCAACCUUGAAUGAUAAAAGAGCCUACUCAAUUCAGUUACAUAAUGCUAACAUUAGCUUCAAUACUGUGCAUCUGUUAACAGAUUUAGACAACAAGACUUGCUUAACUUACUCGGAGCUACUUAUGCUGCUGUUCUUUUCCUUGGAGCAACCAAUGCUUCUGCCGUGCAGUCUGUUGUGGCGAUUGAGAGAACAGUUUUUUACCGUGAAAGAGCAGCAGGAAUGUACUCUGAGUUGCCUUACGCAUUUGCUCAGGUAAAGCAUUCAGAUCCCUUUUUGCCUGUCUACUUGUCACAUUAUCAUUUUCUACUCGCAAAUCAAAUAAAACCUUCCAGUUCUAACAUCCCUUGUGUAUCUUACAAUUGCAGGUUGCAAUUGAAACUAUUUAUGUUGCAAUUCAAACUCUGGUUUAUACACUUCUUUUGUACUCGAUGAUUGGAUUCGACUGGACUGCCGAGAAGUUCUUGUAUUUCUACUACUUCAUCUUCAUGUGCUAUGCCUACUUCUCAAUGUACGGGAUGAUGGUUGUUGCAUUGACUCCUGGCCAUCAAAUUGCUGCUAUUGUCAUGUCCUUCUUCUUGAGUUUCUGGAAUCUGUUUUCUGGUUUUCUCAUCCCGCGUCCGGUGCGUGAAAUGCUAAGCUAUAUUUACCUUCCACUCCACACAUGAAGCUCCAAAUUGUACUGUACUGUUCCAUUGAAUUCUUGACUGACCAUACCACCAUUUUGUGUUAAAACAAUUUGCAGCUUAUUCCAGUAUGGUGGAGGUGGUACUACUGGUGCUCUCCUGUUGCAUGGUCAAUUUAUGGCAUUUUUGCAUCUCAAAUUGCUGACAGAACAACUGGUAUUGAAGUCCCUGGUAGUGACACAAAAGUUCCAAUCAACCAAUUCCUUAAAGAAUACUUGGGCUAUGACCAUGACUUCCUCAUUCCAGUGGUCUUUGCCCACGUCGGUUGGGUCCUCCUCUUCUUCUUCGUCUUCGCUUAUGGCAUCAAGUUCCUGAACUUCCAAAGAAGAUGAUCACUUCUCAGUUCACAUGCGGAGUAUUUCUUUAGGUUUAUAGACCAAUUGUAUAUCUUUGUAGCUAAGCAUAUAGGACCAGCGAUCUUUCUCUCUUUGUUUAUAGGUGUCUUUAGAAAACUCCGACCAAUAGUCCAAUAUUCCCAUUUGAGCGCAAUAUAGCUGCAAGAACGGCUCAUAUGAUACGAGUCCUUAAAGGUACAAGUAUAAUACGAGACGGGUAUAGUAUGUGACAUAAUAUGUAUGUAUUGUAUGAUUUUUUUCAAGAGUAUAAUUAAAAGUUUAGCGUAAAAAUAUUGGCAAAAUUAUGUAUUAUAUACACGCAUGUGUAUGUGAAUUCAUACGUAAAUAAUAUGAAUAUAAUUGAAAGUUACGCAAGUCAAAGAAUAGAUAAAAUUACUGUGAUUUUCAAAUAUUUUACGAUUACAUUGAUACUAAUUUUAACUCUUAUAGAUUUUACUACAUUAGUACUAAUUUUAACUCUUAUCCUCGUGUAUAAAACGUAAAUUUAUUAAAAUGUUAUCAUUUUAGUUCUUCUAAUGUGUAAAUUUGCAUCAUAUACAAUACAUGUCAUUAUUACUUUGUAUAAAAUUCGGAAUUUAUAUAUCAUUAGUUUUACCUAAAUUUGAAAAUUUUUCCAAAAAAAAUUGAAGUAUAAUACGUUAAAAAUUUAUUAUGUGCUUCAUACAAUUAGUUAAACAAAUGUAAAUAUUUUUUAGAGUAUUUUUGAAAUACACAAAAUAUACAUAUUGUUUUUAAAACAAAUUAUACGUACAAUCGGAUAUUAUACUCGUAUGUAAUAAAGAGGAUUCACUAAUUAUGAUCCCCAAAACGCAACCCGCCGGUUUUAUAGUAAAUUCGUCCAUCCCACAAACUUGUCAAGUAAGAAAGAUAAAAGUAAAACUAAGCGAAAUAGCAAAUGCAAAGAGUUAAAUGCUGGCCUUGUUUGGAUUGUCGGUUUCCGUCGAAAAAUUACGUCGUUUUUCGUGAUCACAUUUCCCUAUUACCUUUUUCCCUCACAUACAUCAAAUCGCUACAGUAAUUUUUCCAUGAAAAAUCACCAAAAAUGCAAUCCAAACACAACCUAAAUCGAAAGCAUCUGAGUACUAAAAGUUAAUGAACCAGAAAGUUUGCAGUAAAGACGGUCCAUUCAACUGAAAACACAAUCUAUUUCGUCUUCAUAGACCUUUCCUCCACGGUUAAACCUAAUAUAGUAACUAGAGUAUCCAAAAGUUCCAUCCAAUUUGAGGUGAUGUUCUAAAAUGCCAAGUCAAAAGAUCCAUCAACUUUAAUCCUCAUCAUCAUCCCAAAAAGAGUGACUACAUAUAAGAAAGCAGCACUGGCGACAAGCAACAAAACGA
RNAcentral lists this long non-coding RNA (57007 nucleotides) under Coffea arabica (coffee). RNAcentral's name for it is "long non-coding RNA (CARA_LNC000715)". Lineage: Eukaryota; Viridiplantae; Streptophyta; Magnoliopsida; Gentianales; Rubiaceae. The record is from RNAcentral.